This 55338-nucleotide long non-coding RNA is filed under the name Vitis vinifera (wine grape). RNAcentral's name for it is "long non-coding RNA (VVIN_LNC000150)". Lineage: Eukaryota; Viridiplantae; Streptophyta; Magnoliopsida; Vitales; Vitaceae. The record is from RNAcentral.
CACAAAAUUCACCUCCUGAACAUGUACUAAAGGACAAUAUUUAUUUAUUGAACAUACAUAUAGAAAUCCAGAUCUAUACCUUUUAAUGGUUUCAGACACUUGCACUAGCACAGUGUCACAACAAACAACCAAGAAAAGCCAUAUGGUGUUCGAUAUUUAUUCAACAGGAGGAUUCAACAGUCAUAGAACUCUAUGGAAACACAAACCCACCAGUCCACAUACCGUAGUAUAAUCACGCCAUCUUCGGCGACAGCCUAAACCAAAGCCCAAAUAGUAUGAACCAUGAGCUCCGAUAAUUUAAGAUGCAAAAACAAAGAAACCCACACAGAUAAAAGCUGGAAAAGACAUGUAGAUUUGCUAAAUCUAGCAAAUAAUCGGACCAAGAUGCUUCAAUUCCCCGAGAGAAGAUGAGAGAGUGAUGCGGAAUAGAAAAGCAGCCUUUCACUUCACCCAUAAUAGAAUAAUAUUAAUGGGAAUGAAAGGUAGGGUUUCUUCCUCUUCAGUGAGCCCAUCUUCUCUUUCUCCUCCUCUUUGUGGUGCUGGGAAGUAUGGUGAGGUGGUUGGUGGUGUGGAGAUGAUGAAAGUGAGGGAUUAAUAAUGAGGGGAAGAGGGGAGAGAACAUGAUGAUUGCUGCAGUGUGUUUUGCGUUGAAUGGAGGGAUAUAAAUCCAAAGCAUAGCGUGCUUCCUCUGAGGGGUUUGUUGGGUUCUUAUUCACAUGGAGAGAUAAUCAUACCAUGAAACCCCAUGACACCAUCCUUUUUCUGGUUCCUACCCCAAAAGAAACUCUUCAUUAUAUCCCCUACUUAUAAAGACACCCUCUACUUGACCUUUUGUGUGUGUGUGUCAAUAUGUCUCAUUAAAAAAAAAAAAAAAACCCAAAAUUUUCCUUUAUUUUGAAUCACAGGUCUAAAAUAUUUUUAACUCAUUUUUCCUUGUGCAUAUGACUGACUCACUGACUGAAGUCUGAAUAUAUAUGGAUACUGUUGAAGGUCGUUACUGCUGUAAACACUGUUGAUAUCAAUGAAAAGCACGAUCCGGAGUUGGGAGUCCUGUGGACCCGUGAGAGACUGUAGUCUGUAUGAGUAUAAGACAGAGGAAUCGGAUUCUUUAGGAGAAUAAGCAAAACGGGAACUGCCAUUAAGCUGCGCCAUAAACAAUCAAUUUUGAGGGUAUGUUUAGAUGAGAAAGCUUCCCCAUUUUUCACAACAUGUUCGUUUCAGAAUAAUAUGCGACUGGAAAAGGAACCAUCCUCAGACCUUCUCUUCUGCCUGUGCAUAUAACGCCAAGGGAUCCUAUUUUUCAUUUUCACCCCGUGUCUUUUCAGUUUUCACACUCCGUGGACCCAAUAAGCUUAGGGAGUUUUCCAUUAAAUAUUGAUGAUUAUGGAGAUGAUGAUAACGAAGAUUAUGGCACUGGGAAUGGUGACAGAGUCAAUGAUGAUCAUGUGGAUUACAGCAAUGAUGACUUCUCAAAUUCAUCCUCAAAACUCCAGCUAAUAAAUGGGGUCGCAGCUAGGGAUUGUUUGGGAAACAAGUGAGAUGCCUAUUUUUUAAGCUAUAUAUUUGAUUAAAAGGGUGAAAUAAUAACCUUUCACCUAUUUUAGUUAAAAAAAAUUGAUCAAGUUUUAACCAAAAAAGAAAAAAUACUCUUCAUUUUUCAUCUAAAAAAACAUUUUUUAAAGUGGGUUUUAAUUCAUUAAAUAUGAAAAAAGAAACCCUAAAUUUUUUAAAUAAUUUGAAAUACAUUUAUUUUUUAGUGAAUCAUUUAAUUAUUUCCCAAAAUACUCAUUUGAAUUAUCAUGUCAUUAAUAUCAAUUAAUAAUUAGACUUUUCCACGUAAAUAUUUCCCUUCCUUUUAGAUAUUUAUUCACCCCGUAAUUUUUUUUUUCUUCUCUCCAUCAACAAACAUUCCAUAGGAAAAAUGAGAUAGGACAUUGCUUUAAUGAAAUUAUUUUUAAAGAGACCUUGGAAAAAACCAUAUACCUUAUUUCCUACAAAACUCAAACUCAUCCACAGUCCAUUAGGGUUUUAUUACUUUUAAUGUUCACGCUUUUCAAACUUCCUCAUUUUUACUAUGGGGUGUUUGUUUAUGGAGAAAAAAAAAUCUUAAAUUUUCUAAUGAGAUGUUCGUUCUAAAUGGAAAAAAAAUCCCAAAUAAUAAUAAUAAUAAAUAUCUAAAAUAAAAGAAAAUAUCUACUAGAGAGUUUAGUUGUCAAAUGAUGUUAAUGACAUAACAAGUUAAAUGGGCAUUUUAAUAAAUAAUUGGAUGACUCAUUAAAAAAUGUAUGUAUUUUAAAUAGAUAAAGAUAAUAUUGAUUUAAAAUAUUUGAGGUUUUUUUUCUAUAUAUUUUCAUAUUAGUGAAUCAAAACCUACUAUUUAAAAAAAAAAAAAAAAUCUUACAUAAAAAUAAUGUAAAUAUAUAAAUACGCUUAUGUAAAAAAUAAAUUAAUUUUUAAGUUCAAACGUAAGAGAAGUUAUUUUUACAAAUUUAAGGGUCUAUUUAGUUAUGUUUUUUUAAAUUUGUUUUUUAACAUUGGUUUUUAUUCUUUAAUAAAAAUAGUUUUUAAAAACAAAUUUUAAGAAAUAUAACCAAAUGGACCCAUGUUUCCUUCUAUUUUUAAAAAUAAAUGAAAACAAUUUUUUCUUAUUUUUUAAAAAUUAUUCUUUAUUUCACUUUAUUUUUAAAAAUUAUUUCUACAAAACAACGAUAAAACAGUAUUAAAAAUUUGUAAAAAUAGUUUUUUAUUUUUAAAAGUAAAAAACCAUUUUAAAAUCAUACAACCAAUUAGAGUCUUUGACUAUUCCUCCUAAUAAAAAGAAUUGAAGAUUGAUCUCAAAAGAAACAUAAAGACCGAGAAUAUUUUGAAUAAAUGUUUUUGAGUUUUUGAAAAUAAUUUUUUAAACUUAUUUUUUGAAAACAAUUAAGAACCAAACGAAUUUUCAAAGGUAGCCAUAAAUUUUGAAAAUUUACUUUUACAACUAAUAUACCAAAACAAUCAUUGUGUUUAAUUUUCAUUUUUCAAAAUGAAAAAUUCUUAAUAAUAACAAUAAUAAUUUUUUAUUAUUAUUAUUUUGACUGUGGGUAAAACUCUUUCAUACCGAUACUACGCAUAUUUGAAAAAGCACUGACUUCUAUUAAAAUCUGGGAUCACUUAAAAAACAAUGAUAGUGUGUCGGCUCCAUCUAGCUAGUACGUAUUCAAAUCAUGAUGAUAAUAGGUGCACCGUAGCAAAUUUUGGCAUAAAGUAAAAAUGGUUUUUCUAGUAAACUGAAGUUGCUUCGAAGUAAAGGUCGUGAGAAUUGGUGCAUCAGGAAAGCACUUUUUCAUAUGCUCCAUGAUUAAAAUUCACAACCAGCUCUCUCAGAGGAGAUUAAAGGGCAGGGAAAAGAAAUUAAAGUCACCCCUUCAAUCCUCUCUUAGUGACUUUAGGUUUGACCCUAGUAAAGUUUCCACUUCCAAUGGAUCACUUUUCUACUUUUCUUUCUUUCUAAUCAACUUCUCUUUUAGGAUUCAGGCUGGUCUAGAGGCCAAUUACAACACACAUCCGCAUAAUCUCAAUGUCUCGGAGGAGUGCUUCUGUCUUUUCAUUGACAAAUUAAACAGUGCCAUGGAUCUCUGGCUUUAAAUAAGAACAAAAACAAAUAGCAAUCUUCUUUACAGUUAGUGGAGACAGUGCCCCAUGGCGCCUUUUGGUAAUGCCCACCAAAAAGGUGGAGGGCAAGGAAAGCUGAUGGGGAAGUCGAGUGUGUGUGGAUAUUGGGUGAAUAUUCAGACUAUGUCUUGUGGGGCAAAAUACCCAUUCUUACGCUCGUCUCACGUGAGGCUGUCCUCCCAACUUACUUCCUCAUUUCGGAUAAUUUUUAAUAUUAUUUUUAAAGGCAUCAAAGUGAUUCAAUUUUUUAUUCAACCAUGAAGAAAAAAAUACAGAGCCGUAAGAAAAUAUUGCACUAAUUUUCAUAUUAUUUGAACUUGGGGUUAGUCCACAUGAUAUGAACUUAAAAGUCAAAGGAUAACUUUUAACAUAGGACUUUUACAAAAAUGUAUUGAUAUUUGACACACAUUAAAAUGAUUUAAGUUUUAGUAAGAGAAGAACGUGAUUUGAAAUUUUUGCGGGUGGCCCGACACGUGGUAAAACCCAUAUGAAGAGCGUGUCUAGCGUGACGCAUGAGAAGCAAUUUCCUCUAAAUUGCACAAAUCAUAUUUAUAUUUUAAAUUGAGUGUCGAAAUACAACUUUGAACAUUUGAAUGAUUUGGAUUCAAAAGUCAGUCGUCCAGAUGAUAGACUUUUAGAAUUCAUCAAAGUAUUUAUAUAAAAGGCAUAUAUAAAACAUAUAUUUUAGUGAAUUUAAUGGAUAGGAAAUUCUUCAUCACUAAAAAAUGUUUAUUUUUUAAAAUUUUACAAUAUUAGAAAUGGUAAUAUAAUUUUCAUUUUAAAAAAAAACCUGUAACAAGAGCUUAUGAAAGGAUCUUAGAAAGGUUGUACUCAUUUUUUUUAACUUAAUGUCUAUUGUGUAGUGUUCUACCUUUGCAUGAAAAGUGAGUAAUAAAAAUUCAUAUAUGGAAGGCUUACACAACAAUGCUAUUCAAAUUUUUUUUUGAGGGCAUAGACUUGAUAAACAAGCAAAAUUUGAAGCGAUUGGUGGGUUACCUAGGUACCUCUAUGGCCUUGAAUCAUACAAUAUUAAGUGGAGCGUGGAGUUGUUGUAAAAUAAUAUUAAAGUCUAAUAUUAAGGCAGAGAUGUGCUUGUUGAGCCUAAGAAAAUGGAUAACAAUACUCGAAGAGUGAGUGGUGAAGAGUUAUAUAUGAAAGGUUUGUACAAUAACAUUAUCAAAGUUUUUUUUCAAAAAUAAAGGUCUAAUAAAGAAAUAAAAUUGGGUAUCAAUAAUAUCGAGUGAAGAGUGGGAUUGUGAUAGAAUGUAAGGGGGAUGGAUUGUAAUGUCCCACGCCACCCCGAAAGUAAAUGGUGAAGAAUCAUAUAUAGAGGACUUAUAUAACAAUAUUAUUAAAACUUUUUCUUUAAAGGUAAAGGUCUAAUAAAGAAGCAUAAUCGAAACCCAAAUCUAAUAAUAUUGGGUGGAGAGUGGAUUGUUUUUUUUUUUUUUUUUUUUUUUUUUUCUAUUUAUUGCUUAUUUUUAACUUUUUUUUAUUAAAUAAUAAAUAAAAUAAUAAUAAUAAAAAACAUGAUAUUUAAUACUAUUCAAAUGUUAGGUUGCCUUUCUUUGAUUUAAAAUCAAUAAUCAUUCUCCACCAUGAACUUUGGUAAACCUCCAUAAGUGACAAACAAAUAAUCAUUAAAAAUAUGAAACUGAGAAUUCAUCACCCAUAGGAUUCUUUUCUCACGCAAGCAAUAUUAUGGUGGAGUGAUUAAUAAUAAACACUAGCUUUUAAAUAGUAUACAAAGCACAAUAAUUAACGUAUUUUUUAAUAACAAAUAAAGUAAUUCAAUUUUCAUGUGGAGACAAAUACAUAGCCAUAAUCCGAAUAAGCAUAUUUUCUAGUAAUAAUGGGCUUUUUAUUUAAUGCAUGUUUUUAGGAUUUAGUAUCCAACUAAACCUUAACCUCUCAUCUAAUUUUGACAUUGUAAUGAUUAUAGUUACGUAUUUUGGUAUAAGAUUAAGUCACAAUCUUAGGUACAUGGCAUGGAUUGUAUAUCUUUUGCCUGCCCAAAAAUGAUGCACCAUGUUGCCCAUGGAGGAAUCGUAUACGACUAAAUUUUUCUGCCUUUCUUUCAGACUCGAAAUUUAAAUAAAUUUUAUGGCAAAAUCAGCCAAAACUGAUGGUGCAGACCUCAAAAAUAGUCACUCUCAGUAGACUUUUUCUAAACUAGGCCAAACAUUUCUAAAAACGUACCUACUAAUUUAGAAUUGGGCCCAUCUAACAACCUAGACAGAAAUUUAUGGUCCGCAACAUUAAUCUUGUCAAAUCACCGUUUGGUUGACUGCCGACCUUUUUACCUUCCUCAAAAAUUUUUAUCCCGAGUUCCAGGAAAUGUUAUUAACAUAUAUGGCCCCCAAAAGCGGAAGCUUCUAAGUAAGCCUCCACAAGGUAAUGCCAAAAUCAAGGCUUUUUGUUGUAGGGGAUAACAUAGAUUUAAAGCUAUAUUACUUUUUGAUAAAUGUAACUUAUGUAUUAAAAAAUGUGCCCUCUUGUUUUUUUAUGCCACAUCAAAAUCCACAGGCCUCAUCUUUUGCAAAACCGGAAGCUUCCCGAGGAUGCCUCCUCCGCUAGGUAUGUCAAAUCGAGGUUCAUUUCGAAGGGGAUGGGAUAAAUUAAAAUUUUAAUUUAACUUUUCUAAAUUCUUGCAUGAAUGUUGGAUAUUUACGAAAAAAAAAAAUGUGCAGUGUAGAAUUUUUAUGCCAAAUCAGAUCUCUGGUCCCCCUUGUUUUAAAAAAUGGAAGCUUCCAAGGAAGCCUCCCCAAGGUCAUGCCAAAUCCAUACAGGUUGUACAAGAUGGAAUAGUGUAGAUGGAUGUUACAUGGGUACAAAUAUGUAUAUCUACUGUAUUGUUUUUUAUGCCACGUCAAAUCAAUGGGACUCACUUGUGCAAAAGGUGGAAGCUUCAAGGAAGCCUCUACAAGGUUAUGACAUUCAAGAUUUCGGGCCUAAGCUUAUCAAGGAAGCCUCGAGGAGUCUUCCUCCGACAUGAUCGAGGAAGAAGAAGGGUGACCCAAUAACCAAGGAAGUAGAGAAAGUCUCCGUGCUGAGGUUUCCACAAGUCACCUAAAAGACCCUCAAGGACUAAAAUUAACGAAGAAGGAAAUUUGGCAGCUGAUCCACAACUUAAAGCAUAGUGUCAGAUAAGCCAAUUAAUAUAGACCAAUUUGAUCCGACCCGGCCAAACUCAUCUUCCUGUCUACGCUUGGUCAUGCCCAGCCAGACCCGCUUGCGUGAAUGUGCAGGUCGAGUCUGCUUCUUUGCAUUGGGCCAAUUGGUGGUGCGAGCAUAGGCUUAGGGGUGCUGCUGAUACACACAAAUUUCUCUUUAAAGAGAAAUUAUAUAUGAUUAGGUUAAAUUUUUAUUGAUUUAAAAAUCACGAGUAUUCUCUAUUUUGUCUUCUAAUUUUUUAUUUUUUAUUUACUAAUUAAGGGUUUGAAAAAACUUGAUGCCGAAUAACUUGAACUUAAUUUGGAUAUUAAUUUAAUUUAAUUUUGAGUCUUGACUUGAUUAAGGUCUUAUCUUGUGUUGAGUCUUGGCGUAAUUUAGACCUCAACAUAAUAUCCUUAGCAUGACUUGAAUCUUAACUUGAAUUGAGUUUUGGUGUAACUUGAGUUUUGACUUGGCUUGGAUUUGACUUCAUUUGAACAAUGUCAAUUAAAAGUUUGAGCAACUUGAUCUCAAAUCAAAGAGAUCUAUAUAGAUUAUUCGAAGAUACUUCAAAGAAAUUGAAGAUUCUUUCAACAAUAGUUAAAAGUGCCUUCUAAAGGUUUAAAGAAGUCUUAAAUCUCCCUUAAAGAGCAUUACUACAACUUUUAUCUUUUAAAUUACUUUAAAAGCUUUGAAAUUAAUUCUAUUUUUAAGAAUUUGAAACACAAUAUUUGAAUAGUUUUCUAACUAUUUAAAACCAUUAUUAAAAUAACUAUUUUGAGAAAUUUGAAGACCAUAUUUGAUCGUCAUAACCCUUUGAAACAUACCCGUAGGCUUCAUAUUAUCAAUUGGUUAAAGCAUAGUGGAGUGUAGAGGUUUCAAAUUAAUCAUAAUUAAGUAUGAAGUUGCAAUCCCUUUGUCCACAUCAGUGAUACUUUUGCCACUAGUGUCAUCCUCAAAUUCUUUAACAAACGUGUUCAUUUGUAUUUGUUUUUAUGAUAAGCACUAUAUUAUGUACUUGUGUAGCUAAUUCCUUAAAAGUUUUUAGUUUGAUACAUGUAAUAUAGUUCCUUGGUUAUAAAUUUCAUUAGAAAAACUUUCAUACAAUUUACAUUCAAGAUUUAAAUUUCUUUACUUUAUAUAAUCAAUCACUAGUUCAUAUUUUUAUUGUUUAAUAUUGGUAUUUCAAACAUGCUGAUGCAAUGUCAACUAACCUAAAAACUAUUAAGGAACUUUCCAUUUAUUCCAAAUUAUCGAUAAUAUUGAUUUCAAGAUUUGUAUACCAAUCAAAUUUAUAUUCUUUUAAAUGAGCAAAUAAAUUACUUGACUAAAAGGCUCAGUUCAUUUGUGAGGAAAAACUCAUUUGAAAAAGCUUGAAUGUUUUUUGUGGCAUGUUUUCUUCUGAAACAUAUUUUAAGCUUAUCUUAAGAUGCAUCUUAACGUGGAUAUGUGAUUUCAUUUGUUGAUCCUAUUACAAUUCCAAAUUUGUGAAAAAAUGUAUCGAUCUUAAAAUCUUGCUCUUGAUUGUGUUAUAUAAGUUCUUUUAUAGUUCUUUAUUUGUUUGAAGAAUGGUGUGCGUACAAUCAUAGUUUGAAAAGGUGCAGAAGCCUUCUAAAGUUUAAGUGCAAGAUGCAACACAAAGUAUGCAUUUGAGUGAAGUAAAAUGCAACCUAGGAUGCAUAUCGAGUUUAUAAAGUAUGAUUCGAAAUCUAAUCCAAUUAAUAAAAUUUAAGAUUCCACACAUUUAAAAGAAAAAUUCAAUAAAAAAUAAUGAAAUUAUAUACAUUUCAAUGUAAUAUUAAAAAAUUUAAGAAUUAAAUGGUUUAAAAAGAAAGAGUAACACCGACAAGAUAUGAUUCUUCAAUAAGACAUAUGUCUUGACAAGCAAAGUGUUACGAUUAGAAAGUAAUUGCUCUUUAAGUCUAUACGUGUUUAAAACAUCCCUUUUAAAAUUAUGGGUAAAAUAUCUACUUUUUCCUCUAAUUCUUUCGACUUUCGGUAAUAAUUUUUUUUACACCUUCUAGGCUAUGACCAAAAGAAAUGACAUUAGUAGACUCGAGAAAAUUUUAAGGUACUGAAGCAAUAUGGUACCAAAUUCAAAAUCUAAGACUGUUGAAGUAUAUGAUUAAAUAUAGAGCACUAUAUUCAUCAUUUGCAUAUGGUUAAAUAUAAAGUAAUGGGCAUUUACUAUGUGGCAUUUUUUAAUAGGAUGAGACUUUUCCAUAGCCAAAAAUAUCUUUUUGGUAGCAUAGUGGCAACAAUGAUGUAACACAAAGCAGAGAGAUACAACCAUUCGCUACUUUCUCUCACUUUCUAAUCGAAAAAGUCCCACUAAGGCCUAGGGGUAAGAAUGAGGUCAAGUAGUCUGGUUUUUUGGUCUCCAUUUGACUUCCACAACAAUUAUUUGCCAAUUUCGAUAUUUUGAUUCGUUCCGUCGAAGGCAUUUUGAUGAUAAUUGAUUGUUUGGUGGCGUGUUCUGUAGGGAUCAGAGCUUCAUCUCAAGCCUGCAAAUAUUCCCUCCAACACUACUUGCAGCAGCAACUUUAGGCACAAAAUCACAAUGAGAGAUGAUUUCGCUUUCGCUCUUACAGGGAGCGGUGGACAGAUUUAACAUAGCCUACAAUGGCCUGAAAGGGUCGGUUGGGUGAGGCCUCUGUGCUAGCCAUUCUUCGACCCAACUUACUUAGGGCCUGGCCCAGCCUUUGAUCUUCCAAUAUUUGAGAAGGUGCUUAAGGUAUUUGCAGUUUUAAAAAAUAUUUUCUGCAUUUGUAUUUUAAUACCAAAAUUUAGGAUAGCAAUCAUGCCACGUUGAAAUGUCAUGUAGGAAGAAUAUUGUGUGACUGACGUCCUCGAUUUAUGAGUGAUUUUUUUUUCCACGAUUUUUGGAUUUUUAAUUUUUAAUUUUUAAUUUAUAUCAUUAUUUUAUUUUUAUUUUUUCAUAUUUAUCACGUUAAUUUUUAUUUUUAAAUAAAUUACAAUUUUUUGUGUGUACAUUUACGUUUUAUUUUUUAUUUUAAUUUUAAAAUAUUAAAAAGUAAAUAAAACUAUUGACAAAUAACUAAAAUGCAAAAACAGUUAAUAAAAAAAGUAAGUUUUUAAAUAUUUUAUAAAAUAUAAGGUGGUGUUUGUUUUUUUACUUAAUUCUAAAUAGAACCUUAAUACUUAAUAGUAUUAAAUAUUAGGUUGUUUGUUUUUGUAGUAUUUUAUUUCUAUUAAGUAUUAAAAAGUAAAAAAAACCAUUGCGUUAUUUUUUCUAUUUAGAAAAAGCCACAUAUUUUGGCUUUUUCUAUUUAGUAAAAAAUUUAUAAUAAGUCAUGAAAAAGUAAAAAAACAAACAACCUAAAUUCUAAAACUAAAUGGUUUUCAGUAAAAAGCCAAAAAAACAAACACCACCAAGUCUUAUAUAAAAAUUAAGUUUAUAAGAUAAAUCAUAAAUGCAACUUUCGAUAAUUCUAAUAAAAUAUACUAAUGUCAGGCAGAUUUUUUAACCAGACUUUUUAUUUGAACUUUGAAAUAAAAUAUUUUAUUUAAAAGUUUUGAAUGAUUUAAUUUUGCCUUUCAUAUAUAAAAUGUUUUAUUUUUUUUAAAUAAAUGAACAUGUGGUAAACAAUUUUAAGAUCGUUUUAGAAAAAAAAUUAGGUAAUUUUAAAUUGAUUAAAAAAUUCAAUAAUUUUAAAUAGUUUAAAAUUAUUUAUUUUCAAGAUAUAUAUUUUAACUAGUUUAAAAUUAAUUUAUUUUCCUAUUUAUGCUUAAUUAAUGUAACUAAUUUUAUCAUUUUAUACAAUUCACAUUUCUUAUGUACAUAUAUUAUAUUAUUAACUUUAUAAUUUUGCCAUAAUAAUUGCCAUUCAAUCAUUUUUUUUUUUACUAUGUUUCCUAAAAUUUCUAUAAAAUAAUCCAAUAACAAAUGUUCCAUCCGAUGCUUUCAUCUUUUAUCAUUAGAUGACAAAGCAUAAGGUUUUUUAAGCUACACCGCUAGACGUGGCAAAGGAUAGUAAUAGAUAAGUCUUUUGAUUAUUUGAUGAUAACGAAACGAGUUUGAAAUUUAAAUGAUAAUAAUAAUAAUUUUUAAUAAAAUAAUUUAUAAAAAAUUAUAAUAUUUUAAGUAUUUAUAAAAUAUAUUUAUUUUAUAAAAGUAAAUUAUAAAAAUGUGUUUACUUAUAAAUUAUAUUUCUUUGAUAUAAUUAAAAAUUUUAAAUAAAAUCAUAAUCCACUUUUUCUUUCCCAUCCUGCCCCUGCUUUAGGUUUAGGAUAGGGUGAAAAUAUAUUUAAGUUAAUUGGAGUAUGGUCAUGAUUAGUCAUGAUUACAUCCAUAAUUACCACUAAACAAAGAUUAGUUGUUAAUAAUGUGACAGCUAUAGUUAGUUGUUUUACAACUCAAACCAUUUUAGAUCUUAUGAAAAUCUUAAAAAAAAAUUAAGCUAAUUCAACAUGAGGUAAUCAUCCUAUACGAUAUGUGAAUAGGGUGAUGGUUUUUUUUUAUAAAUUUAAACUAUGUGAAUGCAAAAAACAAUUAUAAACAAAUAUAUAAUAAAACAAUAUAAAGACAAUUGCAUGUAAAAGAGUAAGGAAGAGAGAAUACAAAUAUAAGAUUUUUAUAGUGGUUCGAUACAACUUGACUUACGUCCACUUUCCUCUAACUUCAAUCACAAGUUUGAGGUUCUACUAAUUUAAGGUUUCCAACACAAGCCUUCAAUUAAGUAAUACAAUUGAAUUAUAGUUCCAAUAAACCAUUUUGGACUUUUGGCUCCAAAUACCCUUUAUAAUCCUUAAGAGAUAUAUCACUUUUGAACAACCCCUUAAAUGAUAUCCCACACUUAAAAAUCCCAAAACGAUACCCCAUGCUUAGAUUUUUCUUCUCAAAGAUUUACAAAUGAGGAUAAAAAAUAUUCUUACAAAAUUUUAGUACAAAACUUUAAGUUCAAAUGAUAUAAGAAAAUUAUGAUUGAAUGGUGUACUAAAAAUAUGCAAGUUUUUGAACAAGGUGAACUAAAAAAACACUCUUCUAAGGCUCAAAUAUAUUCAAGAAAGGUUUAAGAAGGUUAAACUAUUGAAACAAUGAAGAUUUAAGCUUUUUUAUAGAGGAAAAAUGUCAAACUAGCCAUUGGAGGUUCGUCUCAUGGAGCUCAAACUUGAUUGGUUUGCUAGCCGUUCGAAUUUAAUGCAUGACAAGUGACCAUUGGACUUCGACUAUCCCUUGACCAUCACUCAAUCGGUCCUCGACUUGUUGAACAAGCGGUUUAGAAGAGAGAUAAUGUUUUUACACCUUUUGACUGGUUAAACUAAAUAGGUUGAUUGGUUUCUCAUCUGAUUUAACUAGUUGAGUUGUUUGUGGUUCAAUAACCAUUUUUUUCAACUUUAAACAUUUUAAACAAGUUUGGAAAGCAUUUGACACAAAGUUUUAAUUAAAAACAUGAAAUCAUCCAAUUUUAAAAGAUUUAAAACAAAAUAACCAUUGGAUGAUUUUGGUGCAUAAAUAAGAAUGUAAUGUAUGAAAAACAUAGUGUACUAACAACCUUACAAAAAAAUUCUAUAAAGCUUAGGUCUUGAAAAACACUUUUCUUUGAGGUAUUUUCUUCUUAUUGAUUUUCCUUUGUCUUGAUUUUGUAUUUAUGAUUGUCACUUUGAAAAUCUUCUUACCUAAUCACAUUUCAAAUAUAAUUGUUAGUUCCAAAUCUUGUUUUAUUAUUAUCAAAAUCGAGAUUAACCAAAUUUUGGUUUCACAAAAACUAAUAUCCAAAAAGAAAAAAAAAGUUUUAAUGUCAAAAUUUUAAAAUUAGAACUCAUUAAUAAAAUGUGCUUUUCCUAAGGGUCUUCUUUGUAAAAGAAAAAUAAAAUAAAAUAUAAAUGUCAUAAAAUUUGAUUUUAUUUUUAUUUUUAUUUUUUUUAAAAAUAAAAAAAUAAUAUAUAUAUAUAUAUAUAUAUAUAUAUAUAUUUUAAAUAUAAGCAAAAAUAUUUAAAUUUAUUUCUAUCUUGGAUCUUGGACCUAUAACUAAAUGUGAAAGUUUACAUAAAUUCCGAUCAUAUGCAUUGUACAUAUCUAAAAAUUUUACAAACUUUUUUUAAAAUUGGCCGCUUAUUAUUUUGAAAGUAAGAUAAGGGGAUAAAAAUUAAUUAAUAUAUUUUAUCUAACACUUAUCAAAUUUUAAUAUAUUUUAUAUUAUUUAUUUUAUGCUAAGAUAAAUACAUGAAUAAAAAUAUAUGCAUGAUAUUGUGUUAUUUUUAUUUAUUUUUUAUUUCAUAUAUAUUACUUGUAAAAUUUAAUAUUUUGGUCACAAUUUAUUUUACUAUAGUCUAAUUGAGAUUGUAUGAGAAUUGUUUUAAAAAUUAUUUUUUAUUUUUGAAAAGCUUUUUUUUUUUUUUUUUUAAACUCAAAAACAUGUUUAAUAGUUUUUUUUAAUAAAAAAAGUUCUUGGAGAAUUAGUCUUGUAAAUGGAGUGUUUUUUAAGAAAAUAUUUAAUUAUUUUCACUUGUUUUUAAAAGUUAUUUAAAAAAAUAAUUAUACAAGAUUAAAAAUAUAAUACUAUAAAUAGAUAUUAAUUUAAAGGAAUAUUUAAAAACACAAAAAAAUAGGUUGAGAACGUUUUCAAUUCUCGAAAAGACUUUUGUUCUAAAAACACUAAAGAAUUGUUUUUGAAAGUUAUUUAAAAAACUUAUUGUUAAUAACUUUAAUUAUUCUCACAAAUUUUAUAAACUCUAUUCAUUUCUAACUUCAAUUUUAUUUUAUGUUUUUCUAAGUAGUUUUAUUCAAUUAGUACUUUUAAAUUUAUUCUUUUUGUUUAGAUUUUUUAUUUUUAUGAAGAAUAUACAUUUUAGAAAAAAAAUAAAUUUUAAUUUAGAUUAGAAUAAGGAAAAGUAAUAAGAUAAUGAGAAAUAUUUUUGGAUUCUUUUUAAGAUAAAAAGUAGAGUAAUAAGGGGAGAGAAUGAAGAAAUUUGGCGAAGGGGACUAAGGGUUUAUUUGGUUGGUGUUUUUGAAAAUUGUUUUAAAAGAUGGUUUUUAAAAAUUGUUUUUAGUAUUUUAAGAAACGAAAUUAAUUUUGGGACUGAAAAACAGUUUAUGUUCCAAAAAAAAAAAAAGAAGAAAAAAACACGUUUAAUUGAGUUAAUAAAAAAAACUUUUUAGAACAAAUAAAAUAAAAAACAUAUUUGAAAGUUUUUAUUUUAUUUUAUUUUUAGUUGAGUGUUUUUUUUCAAUUAACUUGAUAUUAUAAAUCUCCUUUCAUGUCUUUUCCUAUGAUUACAAAGGUUCAAAAAUGUUUUUUUAUCCAUUAGAAAUAGUUGACAGCAUGUUUAAGGUGAUCAUCUAUCAUAUCUUUUAGGAAUUAUGUGCCACUUUAAUAUUUACGUCAUUUGAGCUGUAUAUUUCCAUGAUAUAUUUCAACAAACUUAUAGAAUAUGGUUAAGAACAUGCACUGGUGGAGGAGGUCAAAUGCCAAGGGCACCAAACCUAGCCCUGAGUUUUCCAAGAAAACUCAUCAAGUCAAAGAAGGGCCAGUUGAUUGGCUUAGAGGGAACUAACCUCAAUUUACCACUCCAUAAUACAAAUCUAGGUAAAUUAGGAUCCCUAAAACAAGAUCAUCCUUCAAACCACUACCCACCUGCAACAAAACAAGAAUGCAACAUUUACCUACAAUAUAGAACAAUGUUUCAGGGAAAUAAAUUAUCAAUAACACUAGCUCAAAAAUUGAGAAAAAAUAGAAAAGGACAAAAUAUUUAAGCCAUACAACAAUAGCAACCCCAAAUUGAAAAACGUCAUGGUGAUGCUAGAGAAUGUAUUUAGCAUCAAUUUUGACAAAUUUGCAUAUAAUAAACAAAAGAAAAGUAGUUUUGCGCUCAUGUUAUUGUAGAUUUUGGUGGGCAUUGCAGGUAGAAAUGGUGUUUAUAAGAAGUAAUAUGAUCCUUUCAAUAGAGAUAAUAAUUGGGUUAAUACAGCCUAGGUCAUGCUCAAACCUUAAUUAGGACCAUGGUGAGAAUAGAAUCGGAGGGAUGGAAGCUAUUAGGGCCUUCUUUCUAGAGAUAGUCGUCCCCCUCCAUGGUGGUUACCCUUGACGCUAUCUCUCACAUUUGUCACAAUCACAUUGCUGCCUACAUCACCAUGCUUGGUGGCAAGAGCUCGAGUGAUAUAGAGGCUAUUGAUUCCUCUCCCGACGAUGACACAGUCCACUGGCAAGUAAUUAUUUUCAUUGCCAACCUUGGAGGAAGAAAUUGUAGACUCCCAGUCCCAGUGAUAGAGCAUCGAAAUUUCCAUGGCCUAGUGCAAUUGUUCUAAGUGUGUCUAGAGAAAAAUGGAAAAUUGCAGUGGAGAUUUACAGGAGAAAAAAGGUGAAGAGUGGGAGGGUCAAUGAGAAUAAGAGUGGGCAUGGCGAGGAAGAGAGUAAGAGAUGGUUAGAACAAGAAAUGUGAGAAUAGGAGAAGAAAGGAUUGAAAACACGAAGAGCAGAGAUGUUUUUAUUUAUUUUCUAAACAAUAAAAAAACAAGAAAAAGAAUUUUUUAUUGUUAUUUGAAAAUAGACAUUUAGAAAACAUGAAGAAUAGUGAAAACAAUGGGGCUACUUCCCAAAUGUGUGUGUGUGUUUUUUAUUCUUAAGAAAAAAAAAAUUCAAAAAACACCAACCAAAUAAGCCCUAACUCUUCCUUUUACUUGAUCUCCUCAUUUUUUAUUAAUCAAGGGAAAAUAUUAAAUAUUAAAAUUCAAUUAGUCACAAUACCUCUUUAGUACUAUUGCAAAAUUUUUCUUAUUUAGUAAAAAUAUAUAUAUUUUUUUGACAUAACUCAGUCCGCUCUUCUUAAAAACUUUAAUUAUUCACGUAAUCAUAUGUUUCAAAUGUUUCUAAUUGUUCAUAUUUUAAGAUCUACAAUCUGUUAAGACCUUUGUUGCAGAUCCUUUGCUUAAAAAGCUUAUAAAUCUUUAAUUGAAUAUACUAGGGUUUCUCAAACAAAGUGAUACUUCACAUCAAGUUAUUAAAUCCUUAACCAAGUGUUCAUUUAUGAAUGCUUAGUAAGGAUCUUGUAAUAGUCAAAUUCUAAUUAACAUGAAAUCCUAUAAACCAGUGUAAUGUACUAAGAAUGAAUAAGAAAACAUCAAAUUUAUAUAUUGGAAUUUUGAAUAAAUCAGAAAGACCAAGAACUUUUUCUAUCUUUUAGAUUGGUGGAUUCAAUUUAAUUAAAACAUCAUGACUUAUUGGAUAGUUGGAAUAGGAAUUAUAUUUCUUGAGAAAUCCAUGUGAAAAAUAAGUGUUAUUACAUGUUUAAUGAUUCCCAUGGUAUGGUAGCUCUUGGAAUUAAUUAGGAAAAGAGAUCCAAGAAUCAUUUAGGUUUUGGAAUUAGGAUAAAACAUCCAUGUUUAUUAGGUAUUUGAAUAGCAUAUAAAGCAAAACGAAAUAAACAUUUUAGUUUACAGUUAUGUAUCAUAAGACAUUAUCUCUAAAAUAUAUGAAUAAUUAUUAAAUUAAAAUAAAUUAUUUAGAUAAAUAAUAUUAAUUUGAUUUAUUUAUUUUGAAGAUAUAUUAUCUUUUGAAAAGCUAAACUAAAUAAUAAAAAUUGACAAUUCUAGUGUAGUAGGUGUUGAUAUUUAAAAAAAAAAAAAAACAAAAUAAGUAAUGAUUAAAAAAAAUGUAAAAGAUAAGUAUUGAAGAAAUUAGUUGAAACAAAGGAGAAUUAUGUUUUCAGGUUAAUCGAGUUUGAUAAUUAACCCAACAUCCUUAUAAGUUGCAUAUUUGAUGGAAAUGAUAUGUAAUAUUAAGGGACAAAAAUACCCCUUUCAACCGCCACAUCUCUCACACACACAUAUUGUAAUUGUGUGUAUAUUUGCUCUAUGACUUGGAGGCUUCAACAUAAAUGAGUAAAAAUAAUAUUAAAAAAAGAAGUAUGUUAAUCCUGAUUUCUUUUCACCAACCCAAUUGCUAUUUAUUUCUAGAUUUAUUUUAGGUUGGGUGCAAAUGUGUUUUUCUUUUUUAUUCAUAUUUUCUUCACAACAAAAAAAUAAAAUAAAAUAAAUAUUAGAGAUUGUUUGUUAAGUUGGGUUCCACUAUUCUCUUAAUCAUGCAUUGAAGGACUUUGUAAUAUUAAUGGUCAUUUUAUCCCAACAUUUUUUAGGGAAUUUUGAUAUCACCCAAUGUUUGGGAUUGUUUUUCUCAACCUACCUUGUUAGGUCCUCAUUGAAGCAUACAAGUUUUGCAAAUGCCUCAUUUUAAUCACAAGCCAAUGUAGCAUUCACAAUGCUAUCUAUAAGCAACCAAACAUCUUCCUUGUCUUUCUUUCCUUCAUUGUUUUGCUUACUGAAGAAGCUAGUAAAAUUCUCCUUCAAAUGACGAUAACAAUAUUUAUGAUUUUUCAUCCUAAACAACUCUAAAACACUAUGCAAAAUCUAUUUAAUAUAAUGACAACAUCUUUACCAUUAAGAAUCCUCUUUUAACUUCUCCAAGAACCAAUACCAAUCUUCAUAAUUUUUUGAACUUACAACACUAACUUCUAGAGGAAACAUUCCAUCAUCUACAUCAUAUGCAAUGGUAGACAAAAGAGUUCCCUUAUAUGGGUCGCUAAGGUGGUAAGAAUUAAUGACUAAUAUCGGUUGACAUCCCAUGAUGAAUCCUUGAAUUGAAAACGCAUGGGUAAUAAACAAUUUCAUAAAGUGCCCUUCAUUUGAAGUAUACUUUGCAAGAGUCCUCAGGUUAAUUUUCAUUAGCCUUUGGCACAACCAAGGCAAAAAUAGGUAGGAGUCACGAGGAGCACCAUAAAUGUACUCAUUCACCUUUCCUUUAAAGUGUCAUGUUUGGUUAUAUGUCAAGACUACUCUAUGCUUACGUGCAAAAUCUUUGCAUAUUUGACAAAGAAAAUAAUCUAGAGUUGUUUUAGACACUUCUUCAACAACAAUGACAACCCUCUUUGAAUGAACCUCCACUUAAGAUGAACAAUCAUUUUGAGCGAAGUGAUUAUGAUUAACUUGGCAAGUAUGGACUCCCAAAAUUUCAUUCCCUGCUACAAUGUGAGUUGUUAUCUUCAAGGGCAACCCUCAAUCAAACACUUUACUAACAUAUGUUUUGGUGAAUUCUUCAUGUACUUGUAUUGAAACCUCUUACCUAAUGACAUCAAGUAUAUUGCAUUACGGAACUAUUCUUCAUUUUUAAAUGUAUGACCUAACCCUAGUAAUACAUUACAAUACCAAUUCAAUUCUAAAGACAUGUACUCAGUUUUAGCACAUCGUGAUGUAAAAACUCUUGAUUACAUCAUAACAUCACAUAACGCAUUACGUGAUGCACUUGAGGAAGGAAACAUGGUAGGUGGCGUAGUACACAAAUACAAGAAAUAUAUUUAAUUCAUGUAUAAAUUUGAUGUUUACAAUAUUUUGGUCGAGUAUUCAUGUGAAAGAGCAUUACCCAUAUGCCAACUAUGUUAAUGGAAACUCACUAGCACAAGAACAUUGUUAGUGCUUUACAAUAUGCAACGAAAGAUCUAAUAUAACAUUUAGUGUGAAUAAUGUGAGCUAAUUCAUGCAUAAUCCUCUUGAUACACAUUAGAAAUCUAUUAAUAGAAUCACAUUAUAGGUUGCUCUUGAGGAAAUCUAAAGACCUGAAUUUAAUUGGCUACUCUGAUGUUGAUUAAGUAUCAAAUGUUGAUCACAAAAGGUCAACUAAAGGAUUUUGCAUUUACUUGAAGAAUAAUUUGAACACUUGGCGCUUGAAAAAGCAACGCAUAGUGUCUCGAUCAAGUAGGAAGGUUGAGAAUUGUAGUCUAGUGGUGUUGUAUGAUUUGGCUACAGUCAUUACUCAAGGAACUCACAAUUGAUCUAAGGUUACUACCAUCUUGUGUGACAAUUUGAUCUAGUCUACAAACCCAAUCCUUUACUCUCAGGCAAGGGUUGAACUUAUAUUGCGUUGAGAAAAAGUAAUUCAAAGUCCACUCAUAGUUCAACAUAUCUAGCAAUAGAUCAAGCAGCAGAUAUUUUUAUGAAAACAAUCUAAGCAACUUAUUUUCAAAGGCUGCUUGGCAAAAUGAAUAUUGUCCACUCACCUAUACAGUCAUUUUGUGGGUGGCAUAUUAAGGAAUCUAAUGACUCUGUUAAUGAAAACCUAAUAUAAGAAGCAAUGAUGGAGGCACGUGUCCAUGAUUAACUAUACAUCUUUGUUUUUCUCAAUGAAUAAUAUCAUGUCUGAAAACCAAAUGUUAUAGAACAUUUCCUUUGUUCUUUCCUUUCUUUUCCAGCAAUUUUUAUGGAACAUUUUAUUUUGUUCUUUCCUUUAUUUUCUGGCUGUAGUUACCCUUUUAUAAUUUUGUUGGUUGCUCACCUUUUAUAUGAAGAACUAUUGUAAUCCCUUCAAUGGAGGAAUGAAAAGAAACUUUCCAAAUAAUCCGUUUUCUAAUUUACUGCAUGUGAUUGCAUUCAAAUUUGUAGUGUCUAUUUCUAACUGAAGAAUGGCAAAACCUAAUUCUCCACAGCUGGAUUUGAAUUUGAAUUGUAGUCGUGGGAACUCGAGAAUAUUUCUUGGGAUUGUAGUCCUGGGAUUUUAAAGCCAAAUCCACCGAAAACACAUUGGAAUUAUGGCCGCCUAUGAUCCUAUCCUAAACACCAGGGUCCCAUUCAAUUAUAUGACCUCUAUCAGCUAAUGCUUCUCUAGCCUACUGAUUAGAGGAACCAUAUAAUUUGAUUGUGUUUGAAUAUGAAACCUCACUCAACGUCAUUUAAUUAAUCAAAUCAAUAUAUGAUCAGUCAUUAAUAAACUGUACAGAAUUGUAUUUCCAGUAGUCCUAAGUUUAGAAUGGCAAAGUCAUGUAACUUCAUUCAUGGGCAAAAAAAUUUGAUAAAAGAUUCAGAGUUCAAAGAUUGCCCAGACAUACCUUCGAUCCAGUGUCAUUCAAAGAGCUUUUGGGACACUGAUGAAAAGAUAAAUAGAGGUCCCAACGGUGAAAGAACUUAAGAAUGUAAUUAUCUUUGCCAAGAAAUAUACUAUGAUGGGUCAUGAACCCAUGGAAAAUCUGUGACAUGCAUAUUUGAUCCGUUUACAUUACCAUGGAAGUAUUUAGAAAGAGCUCAACAUGGGUUGCUGAUUUACCAGCCAUUGAUGAACUAACAGCUACGGCCUGAAUUACAUGCGCUAUAAGAAAGAACUUUAAUCAAUAGCUAAUCUAUUAACGUGGUAAAAUUAUUAAUAAUGCGGGCUUGUAUAAUAUGCACACAUAUCGUCACUGAUUGCAGUUUUGCCUCCUAACGUUUUUAUACCUGAAGUAUUGUUUUCCUUUUAUGACUGAAGAUGUACAUGACAUGCACUGGGCUUUCAGGCAUUCAUGCUUUGUUCUUUGAUGAGUAUCAACAAGAUUAUUAAUAGUUCAUAAAAAUUCUCAACAUUAAUUUACCACGAGCAUGUCCUUUUCCCUGAAAAACACACAUGAACACAUGCAGAGGCGAGCUGAAGAAUUCAGAUCUUUUAGUUCAGUUAGGACUUCAACUGAUCCUGAAACUCAUGGGAUACCAUGGAGGGUGUUUUCUAGCUGGGAGUUCCGCCUUUCUCUCUUCUGAUUAGACCAUAUGUAUUCGGAAUAUGGCCAUAAUUCUCACAUGGGCAAGCAUUAUUGGCGGUGGAUCAAUGCCAGCUAUCACAUCUCUAACCUAACUUAUCAUCACAUGACUAAUUAAGUGGUUAUGAAGUGAAUUAGGUUGCUUGCAGGCCAUGUGAUUUUGUCUAAUAUUAGGAAAUUCAUCUGUUAAGGCUAUCCCCACAUUGAUCCACUGGCUGUGACACCCAACAGUGAAGGAAACAUGUGGCCCCUUCAUGGUUAUUGAUUUGUCUGAUCUGUUUUACAUUUUGAUCAUCCAUGUCCCCACUGCUUGACUUGGCUCAGGAUUAAAUCAUAUCUUCCGAGGUGAAAUAGCCUGCCGUACCCAUUUUUUAAAGCGGCAAAUUAGCUAGAUUAGGCAGAAAAAAAAAGGUCUUGCUUGCUAUUAUGAUGUCAUUCUGUUGAAUAUAAUAGCCCAUAUGGUAGAUAGAGAAGAAAAAAAUGUUUAUUAAUUCCUGAUCAAAUUUGUAUUGAUAGCUUACCAAUAAUUGAGUCAUUUUAAAUGUUUUCCCAAAUUGUGCUUACUUCAUGUAUUGAUGAUUUUUGACUUCUCAUGCCCAUACAUUUUACUUUUGUGUAUCGAAUUUGAAAUUAGGCCAAAAUACUGUAACCACUCAAUCAAGGAUGUGGACAAGCUUGUACCAAUACCCACGUAACACUGCUUAAUCCAAUGAUCUGAAAACUUAUUCAUCUCCCCCGCCCUUACCUUGUGGAAAUUUUCUUGUGUUAGGUCUGAGGUGCUUUUCUUAUGCUAUUCUCAUGGAAUAGGAUACUGGGGAUACAAAUUAUUCCAGAUUCAGUAGUUUCGUAGCUCCAUUUCCCUACAUUAAUAUAAACCUGAGGUCAAAAUGGGUGACUCAAGCAUUUUGUCAACAUUACAAAUAGAAAGAGAUUUGGUAAUCUAGAUAGUUAGCAACAAAUUUAUUCUAAUGAGGGCUGUGAGCAAAAUAGAUUAUUUUAUCUCCUUAUUUUAUGCUUCGGAACCUUGCUUUUAUAGGUGGCCAAGAUGUGUAAGGACACGAAGCAUUCAGGUAGGUUUUUCUAGAACGUUAAACAGAUGAGAAUGUUCAAUAUUAUUGUCCUUAAUCACUUUUUAAAAGAAGCAUCAUAAAAGGGUUUUUGACCCUGUCUCCCAAAGCUUCAUCUCCAUGAUCCUUACAAACUAUAGAAAAUAUGGUUGUACAAAUGGGAAAGGAAGUAAAGAUAGGGCUGUGUGACAAAUAGCAGGCUGUGAGACGACUUUUAACCUAAUUCCUACCACACUUGUAAUUAAUUAAAAUGAUCAAAUCUUUAAGUCUCCUAAUCAAUUAUUUGUACCAUAUUGCCACGUGGAUAUAAAGCCAAGCAUUGUCUAAAUCAUUCAAUAAAAUAUGGGUAAUUGUUGUCAAAUUAUAAGUGGGUUGUUAUUUUUCCUUAAAUUUUGUAAGAUAUGAGAAAAGAGAACAUGUGAUACUAUUUUGUAUUUUGUUAUGGGUGCUUACUUAAUACUUUAUAACUUAAAUUGUAUUUAGGUUAUUAACUUAAAAUUUUUUUACGUAAUUCUUACUUUAAGUAUUAAAUUUAUCUGAUAAAAUUAAUUUAAAAUUUAUUCUAAAUCAUCAAAUUGAUAAAUUUACCAUCAUCAAUUAUGACUAGGAUAAAGAAGAUGAGUAAUAAUAGAGGUCAUAAAGUAACAAAAGAGAUUGUGAAAAUAAUUAUGAUAAAUGAGGAUAAAAAAGUAAAAUCUAAAUAUGAACUUAAGAAUAAAUUAAAUUAUUAUGUUGGUAUACCAAAUACCUAUGUAGGUAAACUUCUUUAUCAUAUAUAUAUUUUACUCUUUAAGGGCUAGAAUUAGAUAAGGUGAUGAAUGGACACAAGAUGUAAAUUAAACUGAAUAAUUGUAAUUGAUUUUCAUCUUUUGCCUCAGCAACAUUUGAAGAUGAACAUUAACCUUUUUCUACCACAAACCACUGAGACACUUAUUCAAAUAAGAUCUUUUAUAACUGAACCUGUUAUCAUUUUCUGGUAACAGGUAAGGUUAAUUUUUCUAGUAUUGUUGCCAGGAGAAUGUAGGUAGAAUCUAAAUGAACUGGUAUUAUUUCCUCUGCAAGAACAAAUAAUUUUCCUUCUUUUUGCAUUAAUUUCUCAUUGCAUGCUAAUUUGGAUGCCUCACGGUCAUCAGCACUUCAUUUUUUCUGUAUCAUUUGAAAUUAAAUUCCACCUAUAUAUAAAGUAGGAUCCUCGCCAUAAACAGCAGUAAAAGAUGGGAAGAAAAUCAAUAGGCUUACAUAAAUGUUCUACGUACUGGAAACCUGUAUAUACAAUAUUUAGAUUGAUUUAAUUGUCACUCGACAUGCACAUGUUGGAUUAGUGUCUAGCAACACCUCGGUCCCGCAACUUAAUUUUAUGUAAAGAUGCUGGGUCCUGGUGUGGGUGGUGGUUUGCACAUUUAAAAUUUUCUUUCAAUUGAAAAAACAUUUGGGAAGGUAAAAUUUAAAUGUUGAUCCCACCCGUGGGGCACCCAAAGGCGGCAAUAAUUUUCCCUUUAUCUCCACACCACCGGUUCAGAUUAUUAGAAAAGCCCUUUUGAGGUUGUCAUGUCAUAUUUAAUAAACUAAACAAGGUGGGCUCUUCAACAGCACGAUUUUCAAAUACAAACAUUAAAGAGGAGGUUGAUAGACAGAUUUUUCGUAGUCAUAAUGAAUGGAUUACAGUUGCAUUAGCCUUUUCAAUGGUCAUAGAAGUGAUGCAGUCUGAGUUUCUUUUUCACUUUACUCUUCUUCAAUUCAAUGGCGGAUUUAAACUCUAUCAUCCGUAAUUCACAUAUUACUAAAGGGCUUCUUUUGUAGUUCAAAGAAGGAGUUUGUGCCAGUAUAUGAAUUCAACUUCACACAAAAGAUCAAGGAAAGUUCCCUUCAAAAUCCAGAGUAUAAAAUCAUCACGAUCUUUGGAUUUCCAGACUUUACAGUCAAGAAACCAUUAAAACUAACACAUCUCAAAAUCCUAUAAUAAUUUUCUGAAGCUAUGUACAAAAAGGAAAAUGGCAUAUAUCAAACACACUGAAUCCUUAAUUGCCAGACUUUAAUUUCACAAUCCAAACUACCACUGUAAAUAAGAUAAGCAGCAUCAUCGUCGGAAUUGCUUCUGCCAUUGUAAUUGUCAACGGCAGCAGUCAAACACUUAACUGGGCCUCUGUGUCCUUCAAAGACGGCCAAACAAGAAUAGCUCCUCUGAAGUCCCUUCUUCCAAAUCCUAACUGUCUUAUCGGCCGAUCCACUGAACACCAAAUCCGAGACAAUGGCCAGGCAUAAAAUGGCCUUGGUGUGCCCUCUAAGUGCACCAGCAACCACCAUGUGCCCACCACUGGAACUAGUAUCUUUUUCCCAUACAAUAAUUGAUCGAUCACAUGCACCUGAAUACAACACUGAUCCAUCAGGGCUAAGAGCUAAGGCAUUAACAGCUGACUUGUGUUUCUCUAGUGUAGCCACAAGCCUAUGCUUCUUCUCUCCUUCAUGCUUCUUCCACACCUUGAUUUUCCUGUCAGCGGAACCAGUGUAAACAAUCCCAUCGGUGGACAGCACUAGUGCAUUGAUCGCGUCAUCAUGUGCCUUUUCCGCUGACUCCAGACAUCUGAAGUCGGUGGUUUUCCAAAUUUUGAACGUUCGAUCCCAGGAAGCGGAGUAUAGGAGAGAGCCAUCUUCUGACAAGGCUAAUGCAGAUAUGGUGUCAACGUGAUGAACCCAUGUGCAUUUCUUGUGCCUACGCACCUGUACAUAGUUACUGGCUGAAAAGAGUUUCAAGGCACGAUCACUCAGCGUUGGGAGUGUGGCCAUGCACUUGUAUUUUUGGUGAGGAGAAUCGUUGUCGACUUUCCACACUCUAAUUUUUUGAUCUUGGUGGGCACUGAAUAGUUUAUCUCCCAAAACCACCAGGGACUUCACCGCACCGUUGCCUAGAGCUACCCCGUUGUCGUUAGAAGUCUCUAGCCUCGAAGGAUCUCUGCUCCAUAUCCGAAUCUCCUUGUCGGAAGAGCCACUGUAGAGGAAUUUUCCGGCUAGGGCGAGGGAGAAGACAUAGGAGGAGUGGCCUUUGAGAGUGGAAAUGCAGUGGUGGUGGGUGGUGAUGGCUUGUUCAUGCCGUCGGGAUUGGGAGGUGAGAGAAGGAACAGAUGGUAGACUUGGUUGAGAAGCGAGAGAGUUUGAUGAUUCUGAAUGAAGGCAUGAAGAAUCUGAGUGAAGGUGAUGUGCUUGUGCUUGAGCUUGAGCUUGAGCUUGAGCUCGAGAUUGAGAUUCUUUCUCUUUAUGGCAAGACAAGGGACAUCGGAGAAAUCCCAUUCUCUCUCAAGCCUUUCGAGAGCGAGAAAGCAGCACUAGAAGACGAUGGGUGGGUGAGGAUAAACGUAACACGCUUAUAAAGAUGAUGAAAGGCGCGUAUUUUAGCACGAAGUGAACCUAGAGAGAGGGUAGCACAUUUUAGAAAAAGUAAAGUUGGGCCAAGGUGAACUAUUCAAUUUGAGGGGUUGGAGUCAGCCUGUGGCAAUCGGGUUGCAUCACUCGGAUAUCUAUGGCCAUGCGCAUCUCUCCAAAUUAAUUUACACUCCUCACACAUAACUUUUCCUGUAUUCUUUUUUCAGCCCAUUUGACGGGUGAUCAGCACCCUCUUUAUGGUGCCACUAGAUGUUGCGGAAAAUGCCAAGAUGUUUCCAUGGAAGAGCCGGACACAAGUUGCGAAAAUUCUUGAACAUUUUUUGUUUGGAUAUUAGGAUGGUUAGUGGUGUUCACAUCAAGUGCCGUGUCCCCACUAUUUUAUCAGAGUUACUUUUAGCUGGUCCUAGAACACCAUUCUUGCUGGCCCAAGCUCAUCCGUGGGUGGAUAGAUCGAGAUAUUUGGAUGUGGAAAAUAUGGAUCAAAGGAGACCCGUGUGGGCACCAUCUCAUUUGGUCUACAAACUCAUUAAUCUUCUUCAUCUAAGGUUACCCAUGGGAAGAUGCGGUCAGAUCGGGAUGUCCAAGUCCAACAGCUAGUGAUCGUUUUCUGAAUGGGAUUGUCAAGUUUCUACACUAUCCUCCCAAUCUGGUGGUGCUGGGGACCAGUUUGGCAGCUUAUGUAAGUUGAGAAACCUUUCUGUAUUGGCGUAAAUAAAUCUUAAAAAAAUGGAAUAUUAAAUAUAAAAGAUGAAAAAGAAAUGCAGUUUGGAGUCGUAAAUAAGGAAGGCUCCAAUGAAGGAGUGAGAAGUACGUGUUGAAGGAACCUCUCAUCCCUUGACAUUUUGGAUUUUUGAAAAGAGAGAAAUGUGUUUUCAACCCGUUGAAUAAUUGAGGUAAGAUCCUCCUAUAAGGUAGAAUCUCAAUUGGAGUUAUCUUUUACUUCUAAACUUCUAUUUCAUGAUAAUUAACUCGGGAGUAAAAGAUAAUCUUCCUAUCCCUAUGUAGUGGCAUCGGACUUAGUAAUGCCCCCUAAAUCAUGGGAAAGUCUGAUCAUUGGGCCAAGGCCUUAUAAAAAAAAGUAUAUAGCUGCUAAAUAUACUUACUAUUAAAGGUUGUCCCUGAAGCAAAAUGCGCGCUCCGCCUUACGCGUGAGCCAAUGUGCAAGAUUUAUAUUUAUGUCCUCAUUUAUUUGGUUAGAAAAUUGAAUCUUAUCAAUAAGUAAAAGUGACAUUUUCUUUCCUUUCUUUAUUUGAUUUUAUAUAAUUAAAUUUUACCAUCCGUACCAAGUGGCAUGUUGUACAGAGCUAUCCACUAGACUAUGCAACAUGUCGGCGGCAUAACUACUCAUUAUGAGUGUCAAAUAUCUGUGGGCGGACACUAAAAGGCGCAUGGGUCAUCCACAUUUGGAUUAUACGUGAUCAUCAUUUUAAAGGGCUUCAUGCCCCUCGCCCUUGCCUUGGCUCAAUCUGCUACAUGCAUUGAACACUAGCAGUGGCCUAAAUUUUUUGACACACCACAUCAAAGUCAACAGCUGAUGAACAAAACCAGGUGGAUGUCUAACGCGCAUUCAUUUGUAACCUGUGAAACCACCAAAGUUGUGCUAUCAAUCUAAAUUUCGGUUAUUAGUUGCUGUCGCUAUUUAAUUAUCACACUAUUCACAACCAUCGACUAAAGUUGUAUGAUUUAUUUACACAAUUAUUAAAAAAUAUAAUCAAUCAAAUCAAAUCAAAUGAUAUGAUUUGUGUUAUAUAUAUUACAUCUUACUUUCAUAAGUCCUUAUAUUAAUCCCUUUAUUUGCAUCUUAUCCCCUCUAAAUAUUUUACUGUUCAUUUUUAACAAUAGAGAUAGACAUCGAGAGUUUGAUAACUACCCUUUUAAUACUUAUGUUUUUCUUCUUUUAAUUUGGAUUGGAUUUUCACUAUCUUAUUUUAAAUUAUAUUUAACUCUAAAAAAAUAUUAAGAAAAAUUGAUUUCUUCUUAUUGAGUUUACUAUAAAAAAAUUCUAAAAAUAUUCGAAUAUAAUUAAAAUUAUAUAAAAAUUAAUGCAUUUUCAUAUUAUUUAAGUUAAAUAAAUAAAAUGAAUUUUAAAAAGUAACAUAUAAAUAUAAUUAAUUAAGUUUAAUUUUUUUUUUUUACUUUUCAUUUAUAUAUUAUUCCUUGUAUUUUUCUUUAAGCUAUUUUUUUCUUGAAAAAUUUAACAAAAAAUACAAAUAAAAAGAAAAUAAAAUACAUUAGAAAAAGAAAAAGUAAAAUGAAACAAAAUAUAUAUAUAUAUAUUUCAACCUUUGACUUAUUUUAAUUCAUCUAUACAAAUAAUUUAAAUAUAUAUAAAUUUUUAAUCAAUUUUAAUUAUAAUUUAUUUCUAUUUAUUUAUCAUGAUACAACAAAAAUAAGAAUUUUUUUUCCCUUUUUUUUCUUUCCACGUUACUUUCCUAACUAAGCAUAUCCUUCUUCACACUGAAAAGUUAGAAUUACGUGUGAAUUCUCAUUCCAGAAAGAAUCUCUUGAUGCAGUUCUUGGUCAAAGAAAUUAUGUUUCUUUUCCUCUGGUUCUACAAUUUUUUUCUUGGAUACUUCCUCAAUUGUCUGGUUAAAAACCAGUUUGAUCUUCAAGACUGGGUCCAAGGAACAUUUCUUCAAACCGAAAGCGCAAUGGUUUUACGGACAAAGAAAUAUAGAGCUGGCUGGCUAGUAAAGUCCGUCAACGACUGACCAAAAGGGUUUCUGUUGAACUCAAGACAGCUUAGACAGGAAAGGUUUUAGACCAACUAUAAAGGGCUCUUGUUUUAUGCACCCAGUUUUUCAACAAAGGCGUAUUUAAAAUCAAACCAAGAUGUUGAAUUACCCGGUUUUUCCAUCUUUUUGUGGGUUUGUUCGUAUACGGAAGGAGUGGAUGGGGCUGUAGAUCCUUUUCAAACCGAUAAAAUCCGGCUGCAAAUUGCAAAACCCUGCCUGCAACUUGCAGGACCCUUCCAAGUGUGCUGUCUGUGGGACCUAAAAGUGGAGAAUUGACCAUUACAUUUAGAAAGACCUGUGAUUCAACGAUGCGCAUUGCUUUUUCUUUUUAUUGUUACAAUGUGUACGUUCGAUAAAAUCUUGAUGGAUAAUGUGAAAUCUUAGCCAAGUCCGAAUCAUUCCCCUGGGAUUUUCUUUCUUUCAUAUGGACAGACAAUAUUAUUUCUUCCUGCUUUCUAGAAGACUGACGGGUAUGCCUUGUACAUAAAGUUUAUCCACACAAAAGUUGUACUUUCAAUUUUUUUAUUUUAUUUUACGUUAUUAUUGUUACUGCAUGGACAUAUAAAAAUAUUUUUCAAUUUGGAAUUUUUUUUUUAAAAUAGACAUAAUUCAUAUAAAAUAUAAUGAUUCCUUUGAGUUAUGACUCAACACCAAUGACGAAUUCAGGAGGAAUUUCAAGAAUUCUUGUUAUAUGCCAGGUCCAACCCUCAACUAUUUUUUUUUCUUCUAGAUUUAUCGAUAUGAAAUCAAUUGAAUGCACUUCUACCACUUAUUCCAUUUUCAGAAGAUCAUGUAUUAUGUCAUCAUAUCCUGAUUUUUUUCAUUUAUAAAUAUAAUUAAUAUUCAUGAAUGGUUGCUUUCAAAGUAGUUAAAUAAGGUUUAGCUGAUAUUAUUAUUAUAGAGUCAACUGAAACAAUUAGAACUUCAGGAUCCAUUUAGUCAUAAUUUUUAAAAUUUGUUUUUAAAAAUUAUUUUUUAUUUUUUAAUUUCAAAACAAUUUUUAAAAAUAAGUUUUAGAAAAGAUAUUCAAAUAGAUUAAUUUUUUUUUUUUUUGUCUUUAAAAUUUGGUAAAACCAACUUAUAUUUGUUUUCUAUUUUAUUUUGUUUUUAAAAAUUGUUUUUAGAGAGCAACAACUAAAUGAUGUUAGAAUUUUUUUAAAAUAAAUUUCUAUUUUUAAAAAUAGAAAAUUAUUUUUAAAUCAAACAAUCAAAUAUGCUCAAAAUUUUAAAAUGAUAAUGUGUAAGAGUGAGAGAGUUAAUUAAAAUGGAAAUUAUCACUUAAAAGAAAGAAAAAAAAGAACAAAUAAUAUAAAUUACAUACUCAUGAUAAAACAGAUUAUAACUCCUAAAGCAACACAUAUGGAACACAAAAUAUUCAUCACCAUAACUAUAUAUAUAAAAGGUAGAGAGAGGGAUAAGAUCUUCUCCACCAAUGAAAUUGGAUAGGUGAAAGAAGGCAACUAGACGAAGGAUGUGAUGACUUCGAAAGGCAAAAUAAAAUUGAUGACUUGCCAUCGAUGAGUAAGGUGAAAAGAUGGUGGAUAAAUGUGAAAUGGUUACUUUAUAGCUGUCAUGGAAUCCAUCAAAUAAUUAGAGCAGUAGAGAUUUGGAUGGUAUUGGUGGUGAGGGGUGCGUCAGCCCUCAGGAGGCCAAUUUCUAUGCCUUCCAGCACUGGCACCCCCAACCAAUUCAUCCAAGAUGAUAAUAUAUUAUCAAUAUCCAUCACUUAUGGUCUUCUCAUAUUUGAAUUUUACUGUUCCUCUCAAGAUAGAGGGCUAUUCAUCCAAGACUUUGUCUUCACUUAUGUCUCUUUAUGGGCUCCAGCAAACUCACGAAUGAAGAAUGACUAUGACUCCUGACCAUCUUGGUGUAGUGACUCCAUUGACAAAGGUAGAGAGAAUUUGGAAUGAUAAUGAGUAAAUGAUAACUAAUUCUACUGAUUUAUCUGCUUUCAUGUAGACUGAGUGUUGUAAGUGAACAUGGUGGGUUCUUAUUUCUUUAAGGUAAGAUGAUGCAUUUAAUAGACAUUAAUCACGCCUCAUGAUUUGGUAGAGGGCUCCAAGCUUAAUGAUAUAUCAUAAUAAAAAAAACACCUACAUAAUGGACACAAACCUCUUGACAAGUGAAAUUAUAUUAAUUUACAUCAUAAAAUAAUAAAAAUUAAAUUAAAUUAAGUUUAAACUCGAUAAUCCUUUUUGAUAUUGUGUUUGGGUACACAAAGACUAAAGAAAAAUCAAACCAUGUUAGCACGCCAUGAGGUGGUUGGAUUAAAUUGAAACCAACAUUGAAGGGAAGCAUGUCAUAUCAAUUGGGAAUUGGCCUAUUUGAGGGGGUGAAGUUAGGAACAAAAUAUAGGUGGUGAUAUGCAUUUCAGGAGGAAUUUAUAGAAUAAGAUGGAGUUGAUUUUUGAAAAUUGAAGAUAAAUAACAAUAAGAGCUAAUAAGAAUAUGGUGGUUCCAAAUUUUUUACCGAAGUGGUUAAUGGAAAUUGAGAGAAACAUUUGGCAUGUCAACAAAAGGAUAAGUAGUUGAAAGAAAUUGAGAAAGCAAAUCAAAAGAAAUUAGGAGAGCAAGUGUAGCACAUUAAGCCACGUUGUUUGCAUGCUUGAUAAAAUUUUAAUAUAAGUUGAAAAAGUAUUUAGUAGCAUUAGGAAGGUGGAGAUAUUUUUGAAGGUUAUGAAAGACAAAAGAUAUAUGACAGCUUAACAAGAGCACAAUAAUACGACAAUUGCAUUAGAAGGGGACUUUAUUAUGGAUUUUUUAAUAUAUAUAAGUAAAGGAAGACUUAAGGAAAAUUAUAUCUGCACAUCACAUCACAUCAAUUUAACCAAUGCUACUGUUAUGCGUUUUUAAUAUUUUCAUUAUUCAUCAUCAAGCUUCUUAUCUACUUUUAGAAAUAGGAUUAAAGUAGGGCUCAUCAUAGGUUAAGAGAAUGUCAAAUUGUUUGUUUCUAUUUGGUUUCUUCAAGGCUAAGUAUCCUCAUUAUAAUAUCCCCUUAUGCAACUUUUUAUGUGAGUUUUUAUCAAUGUUUUUAAGAUCAAAUCAGUCAUUGAAUUGAAAAAGUUACUGAUUCACGGUUCACUAGUCAAAUCGAUGGUCGAAUUGAUGAUGUCAUAAAUAAUUAAAUAUAUAAUUUAUAAAUUAUUAAAAUUUAAAAUAAUUAUAAAAAUAAAAAUAAUAUUUUAUAUAUUAUUUAAAAAUUAAAAUUUUAUUUGAAAAUCAGAAAAUUAGUUUCAAAUUAUAAAUAAAUCAAAAUUAUAAUAAAAAAAUAACACAUUAAAUAUAAAACAUAUAUAAAAAAACAUAUACCCUUCCUACAAUCCUCUUAAAUUUAAUUAAAUGCAUCGUUUUCACUCUAGAAGAGUUGUAUCUCCUAUAUCAGUUUCAAACAAACACCAACCAAACACUCCCAAAAUCAAUUAAAUAACCGGUCCUAAUUUGACACGAAACCUAAAUUCUUCCCCACAAAUCCAUUCAAAGAGGUAACCAACCAAGAUUCAUCGAAGAUUAAAAAUUCGAAAGAGAAAUAACGAAAUCCCUCAUUUCAACCUAAAUCUUCACCAAAGAUAUUACAUGAACAAGAUCUUCCUCUACUUCUUUACACAGAAGGGAAAAUAAAAAAUAAAUAAAAAACUGAAAGAAGAUGAUAUAAAGGAGAUGUGCACAAUUUUUCCUAAUUAUUAUUUUUUAAAACAACAGAGCAGAAACCAUUAACAUUACAUUUCCCAUCAUAUUACAACCCUUGCCCAUAAUUAACCCCAAAUUACACAGAUCAUACAAACACAAAGAUACAUACUAGUAAUUAUCCUCUUCUUUCGUCCCAAUCCUUUGUUUUUUCUUGAUUUUUCAUAUCUUUUUUCCAUUUAAAAAAAUCAUGGAAAAAUGGAUCUUUAAUUUGUGAAAGACGCGAUGGUGAGACGAAACGAAAUUAAUUCAGAUUCCAAUAGUCCAGGUUCAAAUCCGGGCAUAGAGAUCUGGAUUUGUAAUAGUUUGAUAAUUUCAUUUGUCAAUUGAGCCGGAGCGGUUUUCGAAGAUCUUUCGUUGCCCAGUCGUCAACGACAAGCGACACCUGCUUCUUCUUCGAAAAAAACGGUAACUGAAGAGAGCUCAAAGAAAAAUCAAUAUGGCGUCGUUUUGACACAAAAAACAAAAAAAAAAAAAAAAAUUAAAAAUUGAACUGUCUAGUUCACCAAUCGGACCGCCAAUUCAAUCGGUCCAAUUCCGAUUCAAUCACUUUUUGGGUCAAUUGACCGGACUGGACCGGAACCAUGACCAGCCGACGAUCAGACCAGUCCGAUUUUUAAAAUCAUGGUUUUUAUUCUUUAUGAUUUUUUUUAUCUGUUUUAGAUUAACAUGAUAAUCCCAUCAAUGUAAUGAGAAUGUUACUAUCCAUAAAAAAUAUAUUAUAAUUGGAUUAUUCUUUUAGCAUGGUAUUGUGUUGCAAUAGUUUCCUAUUCUAAUCAAUUCUAGUAUCCACUGCAAUAUCAAUGAGGAAGUAACGAUGUUAUGUCAACUAGCUUUGCACCCUUCAUAGUAUCACUACAGCCAAUCAAUGAAAGCUAGAUUGGAAUAAAAGCUCCAGUACUGAAUCACUAAAGUGGAAGAACGAUAUAAGAGAUGACUAUUCUAACAUGCAAUGUGUCGUCAAUAAAGCAUUAUUCCAAUGUCUUAGCCUCGUCAUGGCUUGAUGGCCAUAUUCCACUAAAACUAUUAAUAAUGCCAUUAUUUAAACAUUGAACAUGCCAUCUACGAAGUAUUAUUCUAGAGUCAUGGUAUCAUCAUGAUUUAGUUGAUGGAGCUACUAGUUUUGUUCUCAUAGUUCACUCAUUAGAAAUUUGAUAGUACGAGUCAUUGUUCCAAUAUUAAGCAUUUAACAAUAUUACAAACACCUUCGUAUAACCAUGGUCUGAUCAAUAGGACCAUUGAUUUGUAUUUCAAUACUCUAGUAUUAAUCCGUUAAAUAUUUGCUUAUAACAUUAUUCCAAAGCAACAUCAUUCAAAAACAACAUUACUCCAUAAUAGCAGCAUUCCAAAGCUAUUUUAGAAUGGCAAUAAUCAUGCAUCCUUAAAAACCAGGAAUAAGUUGGUGCAAUAUUCAUCUAUCUCAAUCCUAUAAUUGUUGUCAUCAUGGUAUGGGUUAUCCAUGAAGAAGGGUGGGAUGAUACGUUUCAUUUGAAAAAAAAAAAAAAUGACAAUGGCAAUAAUAAUAAUUUUAAAACUUAACCAACUGGCCGAUAGAAUACAAUAUGAUACCUUGUUCAACUUUUUGGUAUUGAUGGCUUGAAGAUAACAUUAAUGAUCAUGUUGUUAUCUGGCGAGACAUUUAAAAUGUGGUCAGGUUGAAAGUAUACCCUAAAACGUUACUCAUCAAUCAACCAAUACCAGAAUUUUCAUUUCCUACAAAAUUUUAAUUUAAAGCGCAUGGAGAAGAAAAACUAAACAAUAUCCCAACUUGCAUUAAUGUAUUUGACCCAAUUUGCAUGGGUGAAUCCCUCCAAUUUGUAAUGCCAUCAUCAUUGAAAGAUAACAUAAUUAAGAGCAACUUGGAAGUUCUUGGAACAUUAUAAUUUCCACUUCAAUUUUUUUUUUUCAGAGAGAAUAAAAAGAAUGAUUUCUGUUGUGACUUCUUUGUCCGUUUUCCCAACAAAAUGAGCAUAUAAUUUAAGAAUAUUUAAUUACUGCGUCCAUUCUCAGAGUUUGAGUAUUGAGAGUAGCAUCGCUGAAUUCAAAAUAUAAGACAUCAUCAUUAAGAGAGCAUGAUUGAGCCGGAGGGCUUGAAUAUUGAGUGCCAGGGCCUGCCUCACUAAGGUUGGGGUUUUUAUGACUGCCAUAGUGAUGUAAGCCCAUUGGAUGGGCCUUGUGGGAGUUUGGCCCGUGGAUUUUCGGUAGAGGCGGAAGAGGGCAUGGGCUUUUGUCUUUGAACCUUAAGACCCAACAAAUUCGAGUGGAACACUUGGCAUCCAGCAAACUCAAACAAUGCUUGAAACCCCAAAUCUGAAAAUUUUUAGAGAAAGAUAGAAGAUGUAGUUGGAAGCCACCUAAUGGUACAACUAGCAUGAGGAUAAAAGGGGCAGUGUAAGGUUCACAUGUUUCGUAUAGCAUAGCACAAUAGUACAUGACCCAAGUAUGGACAUAUGGUAAAUAUACUUUUUAUUAUCAUAAUUAAGUACUAGUAUUUGCCAAAACACAACAUUCAUUACCCUUGUUCUCUUGAAUACGACAUCUUCCACCCACAUUCCCCAAGAAUACACAGGUAAAGAUGCUGAUUUAAAUAUAUUAAAACUAUAUAUGGCAUGAGGUAAAAAUAAAAUAUAAUAUAUAUAUUUUAAGAUAUCGUAUUCAUAAAAUAUAAAUAUUUUAUAAUAUCAUUAUAAUGAAAUAUAAUAUUAUUAGAUAUUAUUUAUAUUAUAUAUAAUAUCUAAAGAUAUUAUAUUUAAUAGGAUGUGUUAUAUUAUGUUUAUAUUUUAUUAGUAAAAUGAAUAAAAAAAAUAUUUAAAGUUUAUAUGUUUGGUAUUUUUUAAAAUUAUUUAAUAAUUUAAAUUUUAGUAAAUAAUUAUUUAUUUAUUUAUUAUUAAAAUAUUUAAAAUUUAUAAAUAAAAAAUUUAUAUAUUAAAUAAUACAUAUAUUAGUAUUAUUUUAUAAUAAAAAGAUAAUAAAAUGGUGGGAGAAGAAGAAUGUGUUUGAUAAUGAUUUUAAAAAGUGUUUUUAAUCUUUUUAAUAUUUAAAAUUUUUUAUCUCUAUAAUAUUAAAAAUGUUAAAAACACUUCUUAAAAUCACUUUCAAAUAUAUUCGAACACAGAUUUCAUGAGUCAUAUGUUACGUAGCGUAGGAUAUCGGUGUAACUUUUCUAAAUUUUAUUAGUGAAACAAACACUAAAAUUGUUGGCAACGUACCACGUAAAACGUGUGAUAUUUGUACAAUUUGCCCUAUUAGUGAAACGAAAGCUAAAGUGGUCGGUAACCUCACCUCUCUAACGUUUGAAGGUGGUACCGAAGAAAAUUGGAGUGACGUGACACACAAAGCUUUGGCCGCCAGAAUUUUGGAAGCGUUAAUGAGAUUAGACUCCCUAAAUGAAUAGCCUCCAGUCCUUUUCUCUAGUUCGUUAAACAACUGUUUAACUUUAGCCACCCUCAAUGAUGGAUGGAAACAACACACACCCGCAGCCUCUGCCUGGAGGGCGGAGGGCCCAAUCUUAAUUUCUUUAAACAAGACAAAAGGAGGAGCCUUUUAAGGCCUAAACUAUUAAACUAUUGGCCCAACCCCACAAAAGACAAGUUGGAUAUGGACAGCACAGGAGAACUUUAUUUCUAUACGGAAUUAUGGCAAGUGAUUUUUUGCAAAGCUUUGGUGAUUCCCACAUCGGUCAUCUUCUAUUUGAAAAGACAAUUUACAGCCUGUGAUGAAAUACUGGGAAAAAAAGACAGAAAAAGAAACAAAAACAAAAAUCAGAGUCUGUGAUCACAUUUUCAGUUUUCCUAGUACUAAAAAUUAUAAACUGCAUAAACCUGUACUUUAUUUGCAGUAAGGAAAGCUGAUAAUCCUUCUGAAAAAUCAACAAAAAUCACUGAAUAAUAAUAUAUAUACUGUGAUGUAUGAACACAAAAUCAACUCUCAUACAUCACACGUGUAUGCGUAUACCACUAUCUAAAAAUAAAAAAUUAAAAAAAAAUUAAUUACAAAGCUCACAACAUCAACAAACCAAAUCCAACGGCCAAAAGGAUCCCAAAACUCCACCGUGGAGCUGCAGUGUAGGCCCCGCUAUUAUUAGUGGUUUCGCUCUCCUGAGACGGCGACGUAGAGGAACCAUUGUAAUUGGGAUUACUGCCGUACAAUUCCUGAAUCCCCUGAAUGUCAUCACUAGCAAGCUCCACCUUCUUUGUCCGUGAGGUGAUCGUUGGGUACAUGAUCGCUUCUUCUACCGACGAGUGCCCUAACCCAAGCAGAUGCCCAAUCUCGUGAACCGCCACGGAUUCCAGGUCGAUCGCCGAAGAUAUAGACGAUGUUGUGACGUCGCCUGUAGCUACCCAAUUCUCCUCGCCGUCCAAGUGGAACCGUCCGUUCGUAGGAGAGAAGGCGUGUGCUAGGGUUCCCAAUACUCCGUCGAAAGCCUCUCCGUCGCCGUGGUCUCCGGUGUAGAAUGCAAUCCUGAGAUCGGCGGAGUAAUACGAAUCACUUUCCGUGAAAGUCAAGGGCGUUACUGCCGCCCACCGCUCAAAUGCGCUUGUGAACACGGCCUUGACGGUGUCCGACAACUGAUUGUCUGGCAGAAACCCGUACGUCAGAUUACGCUUUGACUCCGGCCAGACAGGCUUGCCAUCGAAGAAGCUGUAGUGACCGACGGUGUGGAAAUGGCCGCUGGUCGACGGCGUGGAUUUACCGGAAUUCAUGGAACUGGAGCCGUUUUCUAUGUCAGCAUUGCCGCAUCUGGGACUCACAAUCUGAUUUAGGGUGGCUUCGUCGAGUUGUCCCGUGGUAUUGAGAUUGAAAUUGAGUUGAUAAGUCUUGAGAGCCUGUUCAAAAGCAUCGUCGAAGUCAUCAGUGUAGUUGGAAUUGUGGAUGUAGCCAAAGUAGUGGAAGUACUCUUUGAGCUUGGCUAAGCCGUCGGCUUUAUCUCCAGCAUGACACCCAGCGAACUUCUUGAAUGCAUCCCAGCCGCUCGUGGUGGCGUUGGGCGGUGACGACGGAGGCAUAGAUGGUGCAUUUGGGAAGAAACGCGCAGAGACUGAUGUCGUGAGAAGUGGAAGAAAAAUUGCAGCACAGAGAACAUGAAAUCUCAUGUUCGUUUGUUUGUGUGAUGAAAGCAUACAGAGAAAGAGGGGAUGAUUGGUUUGAUAGAAAAUUGGCUGAAAAUUUCAAGGCCUGAGGGAUGCGGACUUAUCAAGGAUUGGAGGUACUAGAAGGCCGGCAAGCGUCAGUGGCUGUUGAUGCCUUGGUCAAAUGAUAUCGUGUUGAAAUUUCAGUUUGAAUGUUUCGUCUGUUGGGUUUUACACGGGUGGGGAGGCAUUAUUUGUUAGACUAUAGUUGAUUUAAUGUUCUGAGGCUGAGCAGAGAAGGGAUUGGUAGAAUAACGGUCAAAGUUGGGGGUUGAGCUGCUUUGGCUGCGCAUCUCUCCCCAUCUCUCUUGCGACGGCCUUCAAGUUUAUGACUUACGAAGGCCCUAUGUUGCCUGUCCUAAUCUUUCGGUACCAUCAAGAAACUACACAACUAUAAAAGUCCCCGCCACAAUAGAAAAGAGGAAUCGUAAUCAAAUUGAAUUGUUUAUGGAUGAGUUUUAUAAUAAGAGUACAAGAAGUCAAUUGGAAAGAUCAAUGAAAAAAAUUCAGCAUAAGAAGUCAAAAUUAAUCCAAUAGAAUUUUCCAUGAUCAUGGCUCCUUUCCUUUGAAUGGUAGACCUGGUGCGGACUUGGGCCCAUGAGGGAGCUCUGGGACUAUGACACCAUUGUGGUGCCCAGCAACCUCUUCGCUUCACGCGACAAAAUUAGUGUUGUCCUCAAGGAAUGGAAAAAGCAGAGAAGUUCCCAUGAUUCUCUGUGCAUGGGGGGUUUUACCUUACACCAAAUCACUCAGCUGUGGUAACGAAAGAGGUUAAACAGUUGAACCAUCCUCUGGAAUGUAGGGAUGGUUUAGCCUGUUGUGAAACGGUGACCUGCUUUAAGAUUCAACAGAAUCCCAGAUUCCCAGCUGUCUACUUUUAUGCUCUACGGCUCUACUCCAUCUGUGUACAUGGAGAUUUUGCAAAGACGUACAAGAAUUUGAAUGAUUUGAUUUCCUGUACGGACCGUUCCUUGUUCUACUGGUAUUUUACUUUUUUUUGCCCUCUACUCGACAGGUGUUCAUUUCCUUUUAGGCCAGACCAUGCCAACAACCCAAAGAGCUACGUCAUUUCAUUUUAAAAGACUGAAUAAUUAUAAGAAUGACCAGGCUUUCCUGCUUGAUGGUUUGCUGAAUAUAACAUCGUUAUUAAUUUAUUACAUUACGGGUCUCACAUGAUAUAAUCAACUUAUUAGAAAGCACUUCCACCAAUUUCAAAUACAUAAUCCGAUACUUGCUUUUCAAGACUUAAAAUUUGGCUUCUUUUAAUUAUUCAACUUAAAUUAAAGCUAUUAUCUUUGACUCUCUUCAAUGGAAGCUGACAGGUAGCUUCUUUACAAUUCCGUUGACAGUUUGGCAAGUUGUAGGGCCGAAAUUUGGGCAGUUUGUGGCCUUGUUUAGGUAACCGAAUCAACUACCUCCUAACUUGGAAAUAUGUUGCCAGAGGAGAAUUCUAUUAUAUUGAACCGCUUCUUCUGUGCCAUGAAUGUGUGAACAUUGAAUUUGGGAUCUGAGUAGGUGAAGUGUCCACCUCUUUCCCCGCAAAAAUAUUACGUGUAAAACUGUCUUAAACUUUUGUUUAGCUUUGGGUGGGAAACCAAGUCGUGAGAGAUUAAAAAAUAAAUUUGGUCACAUAGAGGGCUUUCUAACACAUGUGGGCCUGUGGCUUUGUGAUGCACUUCUUGUAUGAAACAUUCCCAUAGAAAAAAAAAACAAUUGACUUCCUUGUUAUAUGAGGUGGUAGGUAGGUAAAUGUUUAAUCAAGUUGGACACAAUGUGAUAAUAAUUGAAAACGUAAAUGUUUUUGUGGACCUUUAAGUCCAUUAUCGAUUAUUUUAUCUACCCCUAAAACAUAAUUGUCUCUCUUAAAACAAUAAAUAAUUUAUUUGUAAUAAUAUUUAAUUAUUUUUUAUCUCCAUCUAUAUUAAUUUGUACCAAAAUUUUCUAUCUUUUUCUUUUUAUCUUAGUUUUUUUUUUUUUUUUUUAUCUUAAUUUCUUUUCAAGUCUUAUCAAUUUGGAAGUAGCUUUCAAAAAAUGUUCUCAAUUUCCUAGAAAUGGGAAAGAGCAAAAUGCCAUUAUUACACAAAUGAACCCUCCUUUUGAGUCAUUGUAAGUGGAUGACUUUGUAGAGUAAGCUAAAUUACAUUCUGCAGAUUCAACUAAUGCGCUUCUUCAAAAUGAAGCUUCCUUUAUAUGGUCAUAAGAUUCUAGAAGAUUUCGUAGAUGUCUAGACUUAACCACGAUUAGGUAAGUCCUGGAGUUGUGUAAACUUAUUUAGGUAAUGUUUAUGUACUAUGUAAAUAUAUUUACAAAACCCAAGCAAGUGUGGAAGGUUCUAAAAUAUCCUUCAGAACCAUAGGAUAUUUUAUCAUCCUUUGGGUUUUAGUAAAUAGAUGAGACUCUUAACACCAGGAAUGUAAAGUGGUGUAGCCUUCAAAACUUUCUUAUACAAUAAAAGUAUUCAUUCUUUUAUACUCAUUAACGGACCUUUUCGACACCUUUAGCUUCUAAAUUGUUUAUUAAAAGUUUUUAAUUGUGAUAUCUCACAUCGGAUAUGAGAAAAAAUUAUUAAAAUUAUAUAAAUAUGAAUUCCUCUUAAUUAUGUAAACGUAUUUUAAAGUUAUGAAGAUCAUUUUUGACACAUCGAUAUGGGAGUCUGUUUAACCUCAUAAUCUUAUAAAACACAACUAAGAUAUUAUAUUUAUAUAAGAAGUGUUUGUAAUAUUUCACGUCAAAUAGAAGAGAAAAUUAUUGAAAUUAUAUAAACAUGAAUUUCAUAAAACACAACUAAGAUGUCAUAUCUACAUGAGAAGUAUUUGUAAUAUAUAUCUCACAUCAGAUAGAAGAAAAAAGUUAUUAAAAUUAUAUAAGUAUGAGCUCUUUUUAACCAUGUAAACGCGUUUUAAAGUCAUGAAACUCUUUAGGUCUAAAACAAACAAUAUUUAUAUGAUUGGAUGCAGAUUAACAAAAUUAUCUAAAAAUGGCUAAAUAGGUUAUUUCGAUUUUUAAGUCCAAAAUUUUGAUUUUAUUUUCUCAAUUUCUUUAAUAUUAAAAUAAAAUCCGAUCACAUGAUAGAAAAAUGAUAUUAAUGGAAAACCACUCAUAGAAUAUAUUAUAAAUUAUAUAAAUAUAUAUAUAUAUUUUUUUAAAUCAUGAACCUAAUAAAUUUUUGGGCAAAUCCAUUAAUUUGGAAAAACAAGUAAACAAAUUUACCUAUAUUAAAUGAUACCUUCUCUUGAGGAUUUUACACUAACCAACACACAUUUGUCUCAUGUGCAUGAUCCAACAUUAAGCAACUAAACUUGUUUGAAGUUGUAAACAAGUUAACCAAAUAUCUUAACAAGAAAUUAUAUUUUCAUACAAAAUCCAUAAUUUCAAUUAUGAGAAAUCUCUCAAAAAUAUUACUAUUAAAAUAAACUACUAAUGACAAAAAUAUGUUAGAUUAAGCUAAUCUCAUAACUUAAGAAAUGAAUGGAUUUCUCAAACCCUUUCAACAUCCCUCCUUGCUAGAAUUGAGUGUACUUAAAAAUAUGUAAAUAAAAUGAGUAAACUCAAAAGCCAAUAAGAAAUAAAGGUUAAAUACAUUUAAUUUUCAAAAAUGAAAUAGAAAUACUUAGUAAUAUGAAUCCAUUCAUAUAAAAUAAGUAUACAUUAUAUGUGCUCUUUUAGAACAAUCUCAAACCAUAUUUCAUAAUCAAGAUUAUAAAAAUGCUCAUUAUGAUGGUACUUACCUAAAUAUACGGUAAUGGAACUUAUAGAAGUCAUUAGCCUCAAAUGUGUCAUUGAAAGUGUCAAAUAACUCAUAUUAUCAUUAAUACAUUCCCAUACCAAAUCAAACAAGAGGUAAUUAUAAGGAGAGACCUUCACCAUGAACAUGGUAUAUUGACCGAUAUUAGUCAACAUCUCAUUUGUUUGUCUUGCUUUUCCAUCAACUAAUUUGAUUGUCAGAAAGGAGUCGAUUUAAGCGACCCAACCUAACCUUUGUUCUCUCUAUUUCUAUGUUGAAUUAGUCGAUAGGUGACACUUGGAUCCAAACUAUUAGGAGGUGGAUGAAAUAAGUAUCAAUUUAAUUUUUUUCGGAUUUACUAAAUUGGGGAAUGAUUGAGCACCUAUGGGGGAUAUUUAAGUAUGAUAGGCAGAAUGAUAAACUUCAACUACAUAAGCCUAAUGUUAUCACAACACCAUUCCGACAAUAAAACCAACAAUACCAACAAAGGGACAUUCAAACGUAAUAUGAAAAUUUUAUUUUAAAUAAAGCAAAAAAUCACGGAGAAUUUUUCUUUUAUUAUUAACAAGGGGAAUAGGAUUGCCUCACUAUGCUUCUAUGGGAUGCAAUUAUAUAUGAACACGUUGAGUAGGAAAAACCAUCAACUUAUUCCACCAAUACAAGGGAGAAAUACGAGGAUUUUUCCGAAGAGAAAACUCCAGUGAAUUGAGAAAUCAACCAGCCAGCUCCAUGGCAAAGGAAGAAAGCAAAAGCGCUCCUUCUCCACCAAUUUUGAUCUCAUAGUAACAGCACGCACAACGUACUCAUAAAUUAUGGUGGAAAACAAAAAAGGAUAUACCUCUUCAAAUUUUAUGCUCUCCUUUAGAUGAAGAAAAUUAUUAAGAAAUGGGGGAAAUAGAAAUGAAUCUAAAUUUUCUUUUUGAUUUAUCAAGAUAUAUAUAGGAAUAUCAAAUAUAAUGAUAAUCAUUUAAAAAUUUAAGACUUUGAUUUUGGAACAUUUGACGAAAUGUGAGAAAAAAAUGGAGAGAAAAAGUAUAAAAUAAGGAAAUAUAAUAAAAAAUUAAUAUAUAUACAUAUAUAAAUUUAAUAUUAAUAAAUUUUUCUAUAUGUUAUUUUAAACUUAUUUCACUUCUUUUAACUCUUCUCUAUCUAAAGUUAAAUAAUUUAUAUUCAUAUUUUUCAUAGUAAAACAAAAAAUAAAAAAUGUUUUUCAUAUUUUUUCUUUACUUAGUACAUUCCUUGGAAUCAGAUACCACAUAAAUAUUUUCAAUUUUUUUAUUAUUUAUAUACAAGAGAAAAGAAUAAAAAUAAAUUUGAAGAAGCAUGUAAGAAAAUUUUAUUAAGUUUAAAACAAUUUUUUUUUUUUUUUUUUACUUUUCUUUCAUUUUCUUUUUCUUCUUUACUUUUUUUUCUUUGUAAUUUAUCCUUAUUUUAGGUUCUUGGAAAGUUUGAGAAAAAAAUAUAAGAAAAAUAAAAUAGAGAAAAAAUAAAGAAAAUAAAAAAUAAAUUUAAAGUUAAUAAAUUUUUUAUAUAUUCUGAUUGAAACUUAUUUCACUUAUUUUUCAUCUUCUAUAUAAAAAAGAUUUUAUAAAUAUUUUUUUAAGUAAAGUAAAGAACUAUUAUUAUUAUUAUUAUUAUUAUUAUUAUUAUUAUUAUUAUGGCUUAGUUCAAUAAUGAUAUUAUGGUAGUUAUGUAAUUUGUUAAUUGUUUUACAAAUGUCAUACCAACUCCAUACACGGUAUUGGAAAUGACAAUCACUAAGGGAAAUGAAGCAAAAGACAAAUGUGCCUACCUACUAAUCGUAACGCUAGCAUCACAAAGUUGUGUUCAAUCACCCUUCAAUUAGUAAAAUAAAGUCGUUGUAUUUCUAGACUUUACAUAUUUUUUGUCAAACAUUGUUCAGGCUGCCCAGCAAAUCACUGACGACUCAUUGAAGGAGACAUGUAAAUGGAAAAAUAUAUUCCCUCCUCUCUCAUUUGUCAAACUUUAUGGCCUGGCCUUCUUCUAGAUGGUUACAUAAUCUGAUUUCAUCUACUAGAAGCCUAAAAAGGAAAUGGAAAAGGAAAAAUUUUCAACAUUUGAAAUCUUACCAAUGUUUAAGAAUUUACUAAUAUUCAAAAGAAUAGGCAUGUUUGUGUUUGUAUUAAUACAAUGAAUCCAUUAAUUUUAUGUUUAUGUUUAUGAUUAGUAUAUUUAAUAAUCCAUACUAUAUAAAAUAGCGAAAUGUUUGUCGAUUUUUUUCUUAUGAUGCCCUUACCAUCUCACUUAUAUAUGCUUGUGUCCUAUCAUUAAACUAUAUCAUUUUUUUCAGCAAUAGUGAUGUUUGUUCCUUCUUUCAAUUCCUUUUCCACAUCCCAAUCCCACCUAUCUUCCAAUCUUGAUAUAUUCUCCUCAUGAAAAUAAGUGUUAUUAAAGUAUUGUUGAUUCUCUAUAAAAAUCACAUUCAUAGUGAUAUAAUGCUUCUUUAUAGGAGAGUGAUGACACUUGUAACCUUUCUUUGUGGGGUACCCUAAGAACGCAAUCUUCACAGCUCUAGGAUCCAACUUUCCAUGUAAUUGGUCAUGGAUAUGGACAUAUGAUACACAUCCGAAGACCUGUGGUGAUAAUGUGCCUCCUUGAAAGUUAGGAAAUAGUAUCAUGAGUUUCUUCAUAGGUGCUUGGUUUUCUAGGACUUAUGUCAGCAUUGUAUUGAUAAGGUAUGCAAUUGUUAGUAUAACAUCACUUUAGUAUCAUUUUGACACUUUCAUUUGAAAUAAAAGAUGAUGAGAAUCAACAAGCAUUCAAGGAUCCAUUGCAUGUUCCAGUUGGGCCUAUUACUAAAGCAAGAUCCAAGAAGAUCAAAGAAGCAACACUUAAUGAGCUAAUUCAAGAAAUUUGGGUUAAUUCUAACGCAGGACAUUCCAAGUUUGGCCCAAAGGAAUAUGAAGGUGUAAUAAAUUCAAUCCAAGCUAUUGAGGGCUAUAAUCUGUCUUGAUUGGGCGUGAUUUAUGGUGUGGAUUAAUGAAUGAUUGACUUUCCAAUUCCAUAUCAAUUAAUAUACAUUUUUCAUAUUCUAGAGCUUCUAAUUUCAGGCCAAAUCUACCUUAAUUUUAGGUUUUUAUUAUUUAGAACGUUUUUUUAGCUAUUUUCCUAUUUUGGAUCUAUUAAUUUCAGACCAAAUCAACUUUUAUUUAGGGUUUUAAUAUUUAGUAAGUUUUUUUUUCAUGACAUAUAAAUAGCAUGCACUCAUUGUAAUAGGGGAUCGUUUUGAUUGAAUAAAAAAUCAGAAAAGGUAAGGUUUUGCUCUUCUUUUGGUUCUUCAAGAACUGUGAACUUAUCAGAGAUUCUUCCUUGUGGAGUUCAAACUUUAUACCUUCGGUUCGUGAUUCCAUUGUAAUCAUUGGGUCAAGGUCUGUUACUAAUACUUUUGGUUUGCGUUUCACUUAUAAACGUUGGGUCAGGGUUCUAUCAAAAAUCUGUAUUUUAGCUUUCUUGGGCAAUUAUUCCAAUACUGUUCGUUGGGUCUCAAAACGUGUCAAUUGAGGUUCACAUCAAAAGAGCAUGAGCUUCCUCUAGAAAAAUGCCUAUUUUUUCUUUCAACCACUUCAUUUUGUUGUGGGGUAUUAACACAUAUUAACUCAUGUAGAAUGUCUUCAUUCCUCAAGUAAUUUAUCAAUUCCUAAUUGAAAUAUUCUUUUCCAUUAUCAGAUCUCGGUGUUUGAAUUUUUGCUCCAAACUAAGCGUUAACAAUUUUUAGCCCCAAAAAAAAUUAAGGGCACUUCAACCUUGGACUUCAUGAGAUAAACCCAAGUGGUCUUAGUUAGUAUAAUUGUCUAUGAAAGUAACAAAUCAAUUAACACUAGAAAUAUUGAUAACACGGAAUGGACUCCAAAUAUCUUAAUGAAUUAAACUAAAUAUGUUACAUGUUACACGUUCACACAACUCUAAAGUGGUCCAACACCUUGACCAAGUCCUCCAUCAGAUCAUCUCACUUCCUUACAGUUUAGGAACAUAUUCCACAAACCACUGAUAAUGGUGGCAAAUGGAAAACAACGUGGUUUGAUGGGAAGCCACAACUUUAUAUAUCAGUUUUGGUCCCGAACUUGUCUCUCUGUUGUUUUCUUCGGUAAUACACCAUCUCAAAAGAGAGAUCAAAGCUUGGAAAAUCAAAGAUCUGCAACAACUAGUUAGUUCAAAAUUCAGAAACAAUGGUUGGAGGUAAGUAGCUGAUCCUAAAUCUUUUCAAAUUUGAUUCAUAUGGCAAAAGUUUCAUAUACUUUGGAUUAAAAGUAUUCAAUGUAUUUUUACAUUUGGUAUCAGAGCCACGAAUCUUACCUCUAUUUUGGUAUUGAUUUUUUAUGAGAUACUUUGUUACAUUUUCCGAUCUCUUAAAUCACUGCAUAAAUUGAAAUACCUUGCUUACUACCGGGAACAUAAAAAAACAAAAAAAAAACCCACCUGCCAAAUGUGUUUUCUUCAUUGACCAGAAAGUAAGAGAUAACAGCAUAUUCCACCAUAAUGCUCAAAAGUCUAAUUCUUAACAAACCCACUCAAAUUCAACCCAACAAACAACUUUUUCCGUUGACCCAAUAGUGGGAUUUCAUGAAACUUGUUGGUGCGCUCAAGCACAUCGGUCUUGGCCUUGGAAUGCCAAGAACGAUACUAGCGGAGCAGCUUCUCCUAGGCGAUUCUUACCACUUUCUGGCGGUCUUUGGUUGGUUCUGAAGUCUCUUGAGGGUUGGUAGACAGCGCCAGAAACUUGGGAAUUAAUUUCGGAUGAGGAAUGUUGGGGAUUGAAAACCUAUUCCAAGAAACGUCGCACUUCCAUCGAUGCUCUCCGCACUAGCUGUGACAUCGGUCGACGUCAAGGAAUACCCCAAUUCCUAUGUCUUCAUCAUCGACAUGUCAGGGCUGAAGUCCGGUGACAUCAAGGUGCAAAUGGGGGACAACAAUGUGCUGGUGAUCAACGCAUAAAAGAAGUGUUGCGCUUAGUUUCUAUGUGGUAUUGCCUAGUGAUGCAGGCGGUCGGAGGGCACCACAUGUGGCAAGGGCUCUUCCUACCUAUGUGAUGCAGGUGGUCCAAGGCUUGGACUACUGUCGGUGCUACCGAUAAAGAAGCAGUCUAUGCUGGUGGCGGAAAAAUAGGAUCAUGGGUUCGAUGUAGGUGAUAUUAAGAUGUUGAACCUAGAGAGAGAUUGGGUUUCCAGUGAAGCCCACUAAAGUCUUAGGCCAUGAGAUAAAUGAAAAAUUGGGCCAUGGAUAAAUGUGAAAGUUGGGCCAGUUUAGGCCCUUAUGGCUCGGUUUGAAAUAUUUUUGUUGGGCUUGGAAUUGGAUUGUGUUUUUAUUUUGGCGUGGGCACCCAAUCACAAUCUGAAAUCACUUUUACUUAAAAAAAAAUAAAAAAUUAAAUUAAUUAAAUUAUUAUGUUAUUUUUAUACAUGCAAAUUAAAUUAUUUUAUGCUAAUUUGUAUAUUGUAUGUAUAAAUUUGUAGCUUUAAUUGCAUGCAAUUGUUGCCUAAAUUUGUGUUAGAUAACUUAAAGUUAUAACAUAUAGUUUUAAUGUCUAGUGAAUCAUAUAAUUUUAAAUAAUUAAGGAAUAGCCACAACAUCCUUAAUUAAGUAGAUAAGGAUCACAUAAUGGACAUUAACUGUAAUUAAUUAUAUAAAUAUAAUGAUUUUACCCCAUAAGGAUUUCAUUAUGUUUAUAUAAUUAAUUAGGAUAAAAUGUUAAAAUCAAUUUUUCCUAAUUUACCCACAAGAGUUAGGAAGAAUUAAUUUAAUGGUUUAUCACAAAACUUAUAGAUAAAAGAUAUCAAACUAUAUUCAUAAUAAAUUUUAUAAAUUCAGUAAAAUAGUUUGAUAAAAUCUAUCAUAAAGAUAAUGAAUUUGAUUGAAUUAAAGAUUUAGCCCACAAGUAAUUUUUAAUAAAAUUAGAUUCAUUUUUAAGUAUGUUUUACAUUGGUAAAACAUGAAUUUAUUUAAAGCCUCAAAUAUUAAUAAGAUUGUAAUCUUUUUGUGUAGUUUUACCUAGCAUAUUUGAUAUUCGUUGUGAGGCUCCCGAACUCAAGGGAGAUAACUUUAAAUUAUGGAAGGAAAGAGUUCUUUUUCAAUUAGGGUGCAUGGAGAUAGACUAUGCCAUAAGGAAAUAUGAACCACAUAAGAUCAUUGAUACCAGCAUACUUGAUGAAAUUCUAUUGUACGAACGUUGGGAGAAAUCUAAUCGCCUUAGCGUGAUGUAUAUUAAGACAAAAAAUAGUGUUGGUAUACAUGGCUCAAUCGAGCAGCAUGAGAAUGUCCGCGAAUUGCUAAAGGCUAUUGACAAGCAAUUCAUCGCUUCAGAUAAAGCCUUGGCAAGAACCCUAAUUAAGAAGUUCACAUCCCUGAAGCUCACCGGUAUAAAAGGUGUACACAAACACAUCAUGGAAAUGAGGGACAUAGUGGCUCAAUUGAAGAAACUUGAGGUAGAAAUGUCUAAAUCCUUCUUGGUGCACUUAAUCCUUAACACUCUUCCGCCUCAGUAUGGACCUUUCAAAAUCUCUUACAAUACUCAUAAGGAUAAGUGGUCUAUCAAUAAAUUGAUGACCAUGUGUGUUCAAGAAAAAUGAAGGUUAAUGAUGGAGCAAGGAGAAAGUGUCAUGUUGGUGACAUAAAAGAAAUGAAAGAAAGGAAAAUCUUAAGCCAGUCAUAAAGGGAAGCAACAAAUUCCUCCCAAAUCUGACAUUAAGAAAGACGAAAAAGUGUUUCUUCUAUAAAAAGAAAUAACACGUGAAGAAGAAAUGUCUGAAAUUCCAUAAAUGGCUUGAAAAGAAAGGUAAUCCUACCUCAUUUGUUUGUUAUGAAUCUAAUAUGGUUAACGUAAAUACCAACACAUGGUCGAUUGAUUCUGGAUCUACAAUCCACAUUUCAAAUUCCUUGCAGGGUAUGCAAAACCUAAGGAAACCAAUGAGUAGUAAGCAAUUCAUCUUAUUCGGAAACAAGAUGGGCUCGCAUGUAAAGGCAAUAGGGACAUGUUAUUUAACUUUAAAUGGUGGUUUUGUUUUGGAAUUUCAAAUGGCCUUUUAUGUACCAAGUUUCUCACGAAACUUGAUUUCAGUUUCUAAACUUGUACCGUUUAGAUAUUCCUUUCAUUUUUCAGAAACAUCUUUCAAUUUGACUUAUAAAUCUGAUUGUGUUGGGAAUGGUAUUUUGUUUGAUGGUCUUUAUCGCAUAUUCUUACAAAAUGAUAUCACUUAUAAUUCAUUACAUGUCCAAACUGACAUUAAAAGAUGUGUUGUAAAUGAUGAUUCAUCUACAUUAUGGCACCGAAAAUUAGGUCAUAUCUCCAUAGAUAGAAUCAAAAGGUUGGUAAAUGAUAGGGUACUUAGUACUCUAAAUUUUACUGACUUUGAGACUUGUGUGGACUGCAUUAAGGGUAAGCAGACCAAUAAGUCAAAGAGAGGUGCUAUUAAGAGUUCCACCAUAUUAGAGAUCAUACAUACUGAUAUAAGUAGUCUAGACAUGGACUCUCAUGGUCAUAAAUAUUUCAUCUCUUUCAUAGAUGAUUUCUCACGAUACAUGUAUCUCUACAUACUUUACAACAAAAAUGAAGUAUUAGAUGCCUUCGAAGUUUUCAAGGCAGAAGUAGAGAAACAAUGUCGUAAACAAAUUAAUAUCAUGAAAUCAAAUAGAGGUGGAGAAAAUUAUGGUAGAUACUUGGAAGAUGGACAAGCACCUGGGCCAUUUGUGAAGUUUCUUCAAGAGCAUGUGAUUAUUGCCCAAUACACCAUGCUUGAUUCUCUAAACCAAAAUGGUGUAGCAGAAAGAAGAAACCGAACUUUAUUGGACAUGGUAAGGAGUAUGCUGAGCAACUCAAAACUUCCUAGACUCUUGUAGAUUGAAACACUUAAGACGGUAGUGUAUAUAUUAAACCGAGUUCCAACCAAGGUUGUCCCAAAGUCGCCAUUUGAGUUAUGAAAAUGUUGGAAAUCGAGUUUGCGACAUAUGUGCGUUUGGGGAUGCUCGUUUGAAGUGAGAAUUUAUAAUCCACAAGAGAAUAAACUGGACCCAAGGACUAUAAGUGGGUAUUUCAUUGGAUAUGCUAAAAAAUCUAAGGGGUACAGAUUUUAUUGUCCAUCUCACAACACUAGGAUUAUGGAAUCAAGAAAUGCUAAAUUUCUUGAAUAUGACUUGGUCAGUGGGAGCAAUCAAUUCAGAAACAUAGCUUUUGAUAUUGAUCAUACAGAGUCUCAACUUUCCACUUCAAAUGAUAGAUUGUUUGUUGUUCAUAACACCCCUCAAGUUCAAAUGGGUGCAGAACAAACAAUUGUUGAAGUUCAACUAGUCAUUGAAGUUCCACAAGCUGUUGGCAACAUUUCAGUAGAUCAAGUCGAUCAGGAGUUGCCUGACACUUUGAACAACAAGUUGAACCUCAUACUUCCCUAGAAGAUAAUGGUGCAACCUUAAGAAGGUCUACUCAAACUAAGAGGUUAGCAAUUCCUAGUGAUUAUGUAGUGUAUCUAUAAGAAUCUGACUAUAAUAUAAGAGCCGAAAAUGAUCCCAAAUUUUUUUCACAAGCCAUGAGUUGCAAAAAAUCAUAAUUGUCGUACAAAGCCAUGAAGAAUGAGAUGAGUUCCAUGAGGUGCAACGAUGUUUGGGACCUUAUUGAGUUGCCUAAUGGUGCAAAAGUCAUUGGUUGUAAAUGAGUUUUUAAGACAAAGAAAGACUCAUUAGGCAACAUUGAGAAAUACAAGGUCAAACUUGUUGCAAAGGGGUUCACUCAGAAAGAAGGAAUCGAUUACACAGAAACUAUUUCUCCUAUAUCUAAGAAAGAUUCCUUAUGCAUUAUAUUGGCAUUAAUAGCCCACUUUGAUUUGGAAUUGCAACAAAUGGAUGUGAAAACUGUAUUUCUUAAUGGAAAACUAGAGGAAGAGGUUUACAUUAAACAACCUAAAGGAUUCCCCUCUAGUGAUGGUGAGCAAUUGGUUUGCAAGCUUAAGAAAUCUAUAUAUGGUUUAAAACAAGCAUCCCGCCAAUGGUAUUUAAAAUUCCAUAACAUAAUUUCUUCAUUUGGUUUUGUAGAAAAUGUUAUAGAUCAAUGCAUAUACCUUAAGGUUAGUGGGAGUAAAGUUUGUUUUCUUGUUUUAUACAUGGAUGACAUCUUACUUGCAACCAAUGAUAAGGGUUUACUUCAUGAGGUGAAACAAUUCCUCUCUAAAAAUUUUGACAUGAAGGAUAUGGGUGAGGCAUCUUAUGUCAUUGGCAUUAAGAUUCAUAGAGACAGAUUUCAAGGUAUCUUAGGUCUGUCUCAAGAAACCUAUAUCAAUAAAGUUCUAGAAAGAUUUCGGAUGAAGGAUUGUUCACCUAGUGUUUCCCCUAUAGUGAAGGGUGAUCUAUUCAAUCUGAACCAAUGCUCGAAAAACGAUCUUAAGAAUGAACAGAUGAAGAACAUUCUAUAUGCUUUUGCAGUUGGAAGUCUAAUGUAUGCUCAGGUCUGCACAAGGCCUGACAUUGCAUUUGCUGUUAGAAUGUUAGGACGAUAUCAGAGUAACCCAGGUUUGGACCAUUGGAGAGCUGCAAAGAAAGUGAUGAGAUAUCGAACCAAAGAUUAUAAGUUUAUGUACAGACGAACAAGCAAUUUAGAGGUUGUUGGCUACUCAAAUUCAAACUUUGCUGGUUGUGUUGAUUCGCGUAAAGUAACAUCUGGAUGCAUUUCUAUAUUGGCGGGUGGAGCUAUAUCUUGGAGGAGCAUUAAGCAGACUUUGACUACUACUUCUACUAUGAAAGUUGAGUUCAUAUCUUGUUUUGAGGCUACUUUGCAUGGUGUAUAGCUUAAAAGUUUUAUAUCCGGGCUUAGAAUUAUGGAUUCAAUAUCUAGGCCAUUGAGUAUAUAUUGCGACAAUUCAGUUGUUGUCUUUAUGGCAAAGAACAAUAAAAAUGGAAGCCGAAGCAAAGCACAUCGACAUUAAGUAUCUAGUCAUAAGAGAACGUGUUAAAAAAAGAAAAUGGUUAUUGAGCACAUUAGCACUAAAUUGAUGAUCGCUUAUCCUUUGACUAAGGGUAUGCCACCGUUGAAAUUCAAGGAUCAUAUAGUGAACAUGUAACUUAGUUCCUUUAUGUAGUUUCUAUUGUAUAAACUCUUAUUAUGAUGUUUUCUCAUAUUGAUGUGCACCUUUAUUUAAUUUUGAGAAAAUUUAACUUUAUUGGACCAAGAAUGUACAUAGGGUUUAUUAUCUCCAUAACAUUAUACUUCGAUUGAACCGUUGCCCACCAUCGAGGCCAACUUGCCCUUUGAUAGAUAGUUUGCACCAAUAUAUCUAUAUUGUAUAUAUUAAAAGUUAUCAUAUAAACAAAAUAUUAAAACAAUACUUAAAAAUAAAUUAAUUAUAAUUAUUUUAUAAUUAAAUGAAAAAAGUUCAUUUAAUUGAUUAACAAAAAUAUAAAAAUUAUCAUGAUAAUUGUCUUUAUAGUGUUUUUAAUAUCAUUAAUAUAUUAAUUAAAUAUUAAAAAAUUAUACAUUUAUCAUCAUUUAUUUUAUAUCAUUUAAUACAAUUGAAUUAAAUGUAUCAUAAUUUUAAUAUUAAAUAUAUUUAAAAAUUAAACAUAUUAUAAUCAAAUAUCACAAUAUUAUUAUCGAAUAAUAUUUGAUGUGAUAUAAUAAUUAAUGUACACUUAUAAAAUAUCAAUUUCUUCAACAAAACAACUUUAAAAUAUCUAUUAUACUUUUAAUUUCAUAUUUAAGAGUUUUUUUCUUACAUUUUUAUAAGUUGUGAUUAAUUUUAAGUCCACCAAUAUUUUGUGUUAAAAUAUCCACAAAUAUAUUUCUAAUAUAUUUUGUAUAUCCGUAAAAUCGAAAUACUGAUAUAUUCACAAUUACUGAUAUUUUCAUCCUUGCUUUCAACAUAUAAUUUUAGUAUUAAAUUCUCAACACCAAAAUCCAGACUUUUUUGGCAUUGGAGGAAUUCUCAUACAUGCUUCUUAAAAUAUUUAGAAAUUAAAAUUAUAUACAAACAAAUAAAAAUAUUUAUUCAAAAUUUUCAAAAUAUAUAAGUAUAUAUGCCAUAUGGAAAUCUCAACUUUCUAUGUGAAUAAUGAUCAAUUAUUAUAUCAUAUAAAAGGAUUCUUGUGUAUUAACAACUAGAAUAUAAAAUAUUUUAAAAUAUCAUCUCUAACACAAGAAUAUUAAGUAUAAAUACCAUAAAGGUUACUAUGCCUUUAUGCAACCCAAAAUUUCACUUCUAUAUCCAGAUAUUUCUACCAAUGACUUUGCAUAGCUUUGAACUAUAAGAGUUCAAAAAAUUAUCAAUUACUUACCUAUUUUGUAUAACUUGAUAUAUAAAAUAUUAAUCUUUCAAUAAUGUGUAAAUAUUAUAUAUGUUUGUUAUCAUAGUUUCAAGCCAUGAAAUAUUUUUCUUAUAACUUUUUAUUAUAUGAAUUUUAUAAAGUUAUACAAAAUUGUUGGUUAACAAUUUUGUUCUCAAUCGUUUUUUGCUAUAAGAAAAUGCAUAGUAACGACUUUGACAUAUCCUUUACUAGUACAAAGAACAUUAAUUUUCUCAUUGUCAUAAUUUCAAGUUAUGAAUAAUAAUAAUUAUAUAGACUCUAACUAUAUGAAAAUUAUUUAUUAAUUUACUAACUUUUUUUGCAUAGCUUUGACUAUUGAUUAAAAUUUGAAUAAUGUUAUAGUAAUAUAAAGUGAUUGACAAUUAUGUUGUGAUACAACUUCUUAUUAUAAAACAUAAUUAGAAAUUGUCUCUAUAGUUUCUGGCUACAGAGUUGCUAAUUGAUAAUUUUGUUUUGUCUAACUUUUAGUUAUGCAUAAGAAUUAGAUAUGUUAUGCAUAGCUUCUUGUUAUGUAGUAACUAUCAAUAGAUAAUAUCUCCAUAACUUCUAAUUAUAUAACAAAUUAGAAAUUGUCUCUAUAACUUUUGGCUACAAAGUUGUUAAUUGACAAUUUUGUUUUACAUAGCUUCUAGUUAUAUAAAAAAAAUAGAAAGGAUUAAAUACAUUUUAUCCUCUUAAUCUUUAACAUAUUUUAUACUUUGCUCAUCAAAUUUGUUAAAGAGCAAUACUUAACCCUACAAUUACAGAACUUUCAUAAAAUUAUAAAAGGAUUUCUUUUUCUUUUUUUUCACACUUUGAUUCAAACGAUGGAUUGAACUUGGGGGUAAAAUCAACAUUAAAUUGGUAGCCUUAAAGUGGGAUUUUUCAAAUGUCUUCAAAAUAUGACAACUAGAAGUUUUGAUUUUUAAUUUUAUAAAGAUGUUUGUAUAUUUAUUCAUGAUUUUUGGAUGCAACUUUGAAAUAUGACAACUUUAAACUUAGAUAACAAGUAUUUUUCUUUACAUUUCAGGCCUUAUUUUUUUUUUAUUUAACAUGUUAUUCAUUGACUUUUUAAUAAAUUUAAGGGGUAAAAUGUUGUUCUUUGACAGAUUUAAGGGGUAAAGAGUUGAGCUUUGAAUAUGAGGGGGCAAACUAUAAAACACACGAAAGGUUGAGGGAUAAAGUGUAUUUAACCCAACUAGAAAUUGUGUGUAAAGCUUUUACCCAUGAAAUAAUUAUCAAUAGAGAUUGUUUUCGCAACUUUUAUUUAUGAAAAAAUUUUCUAUAUAGUUUUUUGCCAUUAAAAAAAUUAAAAUAUCAAUGAUUACACAUAUUUUCAUUAUUAUUAUUAUUGUUAUUAUGAUCAUCAUCACCAUCAUCAUUAUUAUUAUUUUAAAAAAUAAUCACUUUUCUUAACCAAACAUAUUUUCAAGAAAGGAAAAACAAAAAAUAAAAACUGAAUGAAAAUAGAAAAGUAAAACUAAAAAAAUAUUUUUCUAACCAAACACAACCUAAUUAUUAAAAUUAAUUUUUGAAAUAUUAAAGUAUUGAUAUUCUACAUUUAAAAAAUUACUAUAAUAAUUUUAAUUAUAUUUAUUAAUAUAAUAAAAUAUCAUUGCAAAAUAUAUUUUAUAUAUGUAAAUAUUAUUUAUUGAUUAAUGUCAUAUUAUGAAUUAUUAGUAUAUUAUAUUAUUUUAUACAUUAUUUGAAUUCAUUAAAUUAUUUGUAAAAUGUUUAAAGGAAAUAACUCUCAAAUUACUAUUAUUUUAAUAAUGAAUAUAUAUAGAAAACUCACAAAUUUAAUUUAAAUUAUUUUAUUAAAUAUGAUAAAAAAUAAUAAUAAUUUAUAAAAAUUUUAUGCAUUUUAAAAAAUAAAAUUCAAUUUUUAUAAUAACUUAUUCAUUUUUGAAGUUUUAUUUCUUCUAGCCAACUUCACCUAUACCAUAUGCUGGCAUGGUUUUAACAUUUAUAUUAAUGACUUAACUUUAACAUUUUUAUUAAAAAAAAAAAAAAAAAGUCAUUCAAUGACACCAAUUUAAAGGAUAUGAUAUGAACUUAAUUAAUAAUUAAAAUUAAUUUCUAAAUAUUAAAUAAUCUAAUAUCUAAGUUACAAUAAUAAACAAUUUAAUUAAAAAUGAUUAAAUAAAUAUUUAAAUGAUUAUAAAAAACAAAUACAUUAAAGUGAAAUAUUUGAAAAUAAUUAUACAUGGAUGCAACUUUACCUACUCCAAUGACAAAGCUAGGAAAGAGAGGGGCGUGCAACUUCACCAACUCUAAUGACAAAGGUAGGAAAUAGUGGGGUGGGGGAAGUGAAGGGGAAAUAUAAGAAUAUAUUUCAACCUUGGCAUGGAUGAAGCGACUUGUCAUGUAGUGUAAUAAUGAAUGAGUGUUUUUCCCUUUUCUUUGGUAAGGAGUUCAAAAUGAAUAAUACUAAUUAGAGAUUAUUCUUUCUCAAUCCAACGGUUGAGGUUGAUUUUCAACCAUUCAAUCCAACCGUAAAGAUGGGAUGUAAGUAGAGAACAAAAAUUGAGUACCAUAUUCAAUUCAAUGAGACAUUCUUAACUCAACAACGAAACUUCAUGGGCUUAAUUGCUUACUUCAACUGAUGGCCUUCCCAAUAGCCUCAUUCCAUUCCAUUCCAUUCCAAACCACUCUCUCAAUUCUUAACCACUAAGGAUCUAGGUGCCACGUAUGAUAAAAUGUCAAAUAAAAUAAUCCUUUUUAUGAUUUCCAUUCCAAAUUUCAUAUUCUCAUUCUCCAUAAAAACCUAAUUAAUAAUAAUGACAGCAAGAUUGUCAUCAUUAUUAUUAUUAUCGUUUCAGAUUAUGCCUUGGAGACAGGUGGAUGGAGCGUGGGGACAAAAGCCUUGUGAAAAUGCUUCAUUGACAAACGAGUCUCGAAGAUUCUAGAUUUUACUUGUCCCACAAACCAUUGACGGAAAAUUUUCAACGUUGUCGAGUAUUUUAAGUCUAUGUUAUAGUUAGUCUUAGUUAAUUUAUGAUAGUUGGGCGGUUGCGGCGGAAGGGGCAAACUUCCAAGACGCGUGAUUCAGACGGCAGAGCAACAGCACCAUUCCUCGACAACGGAAGCCCAUAUCCAUUCUUAUUUCUUAAAAUUAGAAAAUUAGCCCCGGACACGGCGUCACCAGAGCUACUUUUCUCCUUCUUACAUAUAUAAAAAAAACACCCAACUCCACCUUCAUCUCACAGAUUCAUCUAAGCUCCCUCUCUCUCUCUCUCUCUCUCUCUCUCAGAAGACAUUCUCUUGACAUCUUUGCAAAGUAAUUCAAGAGCAGGUAAAAGAUGGAGAGAAACGGCUCCUCAUGGGCUGAACAAUGGGACAACAACCCUGAGAAAGAGACGGGCGGUGGCGAUGGUGGUAGGAAAGCCAAAUACUCCAAGAAAUUAGGAGAGGGCUUUGCUAAGACCAAAGCUGCUGCUUCAACUGGAAUGAAGAAAGUUAAGGGAGGGGCUUCUGUGGGGCUCCACUGGAUCAAAGACAAGUAUCACAAGACCACCAACAAGCAGUAAACCCCUUUUCUAUGGAAGCCACAGCUCCUCUCAUAUGAUCUCCCCAUAUUUGUAUUCUAUUAUACAACAAUUUUUUCUUGAUUUUAUUACCGAUUACUAUUAUUUUGGCGUUCGAAAAUUUCUGUGGAUUUUGAUGUAUAUUGUUUUAUGAGGCUUUCAAGUUCUUCGUGUAAAUUCCUUUGUUUAUGAGUAAAGUUCAUUCAUGGGUAUAUUUUGAGUAAUUUGAAUCACCUUUACCUUUAAUCAGUCUUCCCCUUCAUAUUCUAUUUUUCCAGUCAGAUCAAGGGAUUGUCUUUUCUUGUUUGCGUUUGGCAGAAAUUAAAAGAGAUUGAUAAACGAUAUAGCUGUCAUCUAUAGUCGAUUAAAAAGAAUGGCAUGCUGUUUUAGAAGGUUAGUACUCAAUGGAAAAGUCAUCUGGGCAAGCCAGCCAUUUUUCUUCCAAAGGAAAACCAACUGAUCAUGAGAGUUACGUCAGGACGCAGGAAGCAGGAAGCAU